UGCAGACAGUUAGCUUCUAAUAGAGUCAUGGUGGUAUUAACAGCUAGAGAUGAGAAGAGGGGUCUUGAAGCUGUGGCAAAGCUUCACGAAUCUAGCCUGUCUAAUGUAGUUUUCAUCAGCUUGAUGUGAUGGAUGCCAAUAGUAUCACUUCCUUGGAAAAAUUCAUUGUAACCCAUCAUGGGAAGCUUGAUAUUUUAGCAAGGAAUCGAGCAUUUUGUGAGGAGCAUUUUUUUACUCAUUUUUCUUCUGCUAGGGGAAAAAAGGGAAAAAAAUCUUGGGGAUUUGAGAGUUUGAGAUUAGUAUGAUACCUCACUUACAGGGCUUUGAAAAUUUUAUACCUCAAUAAGGAAGAAAAGCAAAAACAUUUUAAUCAUGUAGGGAAACAUUUCUUGUUGCCUUACUUCAUCUUACCAUGAUAAGAACAAUAAAAGCAAAUUUAAGAAUACAAGAAAAUCGAAAUCAGGUAAGCUGCCAUUCAUUUGGAGUGAGUGCAAGCCAGGUGAGAAUAAAUAUAACAGCAAUAUAAAGAGAAUCAGAGGGAUUCCAAAUUGAUCAGCAAUAUGAAAUCAAAAUUUUAUGCAGGUGAGUAAUGCAGGGGUUAGUGGAGCCAUUGUCGACUGGGAAGCAAUUAAGACCUUAAAACUUGAGGACGGUAAGGUAUGUAAUUACAUGCUCUUGAAAACUCAUCACCAGGAACACUAAGCUCAUCUCAAUGUCUAUCAAAGAUAUAUUGCAAUGGAUAAAUUUAAAGAGUCAGAUAUCAUCAAUGAUUGAAUAUUGCUUCACUGAUGCAGAAUAAUACUAAUGUAGCUGAAUUGCUGAAUAAAGCCUCAAAGCAAACUUAUGGGUUGGCUGAAGAAUGUGUAAAAACAAACUGCUAUGGCACCAAAGGGGUGACUGAGGCCCUUCUUCGAUGCCUUCUGCUAUCAAAUUCAGGAAGAAUUGUGAACGUGUCUGGAGGUCUUGGAAAACUUCAGGUAUGUAAAUGUAAUUGCACCUUCACGGGGAAAUGAUAAAACCAAAUUCGAACUUUAUAAUGCAUGAGUCAUGUCUAGCAUUUCCAUUAAUCAUAAGAUUAAUGUUGAGUUCUUCCUUAUUUUAUCAGUUUGUCCCCAGUGAAAGGGUUAGAAUGGAGCUAAAUGAUGUUGAUGUACUCUCAAUAGAGACAGUAGAUGAGAUAGUAAAUGAAUUCCUCAAGGAUGUUAAGGAUGACAUGUUACAUGACAAAGGCUGGCCAACUCAGACAUCUGCAUAUACAAUCUCCAAAGCAGCCAUGAAUGCUUACACAAGGAUUGUUGCCAAAUCAUACCCAAGUCUCCUCAUAAAUUGUGUUUGUCCUGGUUUCGUCAAAACCGAUAUGACUUCCAACACUGGUCUCUUCACUGUUGCAGUGGGUGCCAAAGGCCCUGUUAUGUUGGCUUUGCUUCCAGAGGGAGGACCUUCUGGCCUCUUUUUGGAAAAGAUGGAGGCAUCAACCUUUUGAUCAUAAGUCAGUUACAGGAAUGAGUUGGUUUCCGGCUUUAUGUAUUUCCUAUGGUUGUAUUUGUAAGGUUAUCCAACUUUUCCUAUUGCUUUGCUGAGACAACGGGGUAAUGAAUGUGAAGCUUCUCUUGUAUUCAGAGUUAUAAUCAUGAACUUUAGCUGUCUGUGACAAUUGAUAAUCCUUUUAAAAGUAGGAACUAGGAAACCAGUCUCAUUUCAAUAUAUGCAAAUUAAUUCUUAUUUAAUAAAGAAAUUCCACGGGAUAGGACAUGGGAUUGGAAGCUCAAUUUGAACUGGCAUUCAGGUAUUUCAUCUAAUUUCUUUAAUGGUUAUCCGCUCUUGUAAGAAAUUGUUCAGUUCUCCGCAUUUCUAUCACUUACAACUUGUUUCUCUCUGCUGGCUUAAGGAAGUAGAGGACAGAGCAGGUGAAUCAUUACCUAAAGCUCAUGAUGCCAACAAAGUUUUGCAAUCUCAACAGAAGACGUCCUGCCAGAAGUCAAUGUAGUCACAAGAAUCUACAAUAACUCAAUAGAAUAUUUGGUGUCCCCUUGUCGGGAAGGUUGUGUUUGCAGCCAGCUAUUUGAAAGUAAUAUGACAAACUCCAAUCAAUUGGAAUAUGAAAUUUGACUCUCAAAGGAAAAUAUUAUCUUUCUCAUGCACUCUUGGUUGACACCAUUUUAUGUUCUUAAAUUGCCCCUCUUUGCCUUCAUGUUAGCUAUAAUCUUGUCUCCAUAUCAGCAGCAAGCCCCCUCCGUGUCACAGGAGAGAUUGAAAAUUUUAAAAACAAAAAAAUCUGAAUUUGAAACUCAUGAAAAAUCACCCGACUCGACAAUCGACAAUCGACUAUUAUUUCUCUAAUUUGAAACUUUUCUUCUAUUUGAUUUGGGAACAUUUCUCUCUCUCUCUCUUGGUUUCAUCACCCACACAAUCUCAAGAUCCAUCUAAAAUUUCCCAAAAAUGGUCUCAUUUGAGAGAAAAAAAAUCAUUAAUUCAAAACUACAACCUAUGUGUUUCUCUCUUGUCCAGGUAAAAUUGCAACAAAAUGGAUCAUUCCAUCUUAAGAAUGUUCGAUUAAAAGACAACUUCAAGAGACACAUAUGUGAUUGUGAAUUUACUACAACAACGUGUACUCGAACGAAAAGGUAAAAUCCAAAAUAUUGGGUUCAUUAACAAGAUAUCUCUUCUUGUCAUUGAGUCGCAUUUUACCCUAACCCCAAAUUGAAAUUUGAAGGUAAAUAAUUUUUAUUUAUUGUUCUUUUAGUUCAUUUGUUUGAAACCAAUUAGAGAGAAGAAAAGUUUCAUAUUAGGGAAAUAACAGCCGAUCGGGUGAUUUUUCGUAUAUUUCAAAUUCAGAUUUUUCUAUUUUUAAAAUUUUAAGUUUCUCAUGUGACAUGGAUGGCUUGCUGCUGAUAUAGUGAAGGCAAGGAGGGGCAAUCUAGGAACAUAAAACGGAGUCAGCAAAGAUUCCACGAUAAAGAUAAUAUUUUACUUUUGACGGUCAAGUCUCAUAUUACAGCUUAGUGAAUUUGAUUGUCAUGUCACUUUCAAAUAGUUGGCUGCGAACUCAACUUUCCCUUGCAUUUAAAACAAUGAAUAUAUCGAUUGAUAAUGGCCUUUAAAACGAUGACAUUGUCGGCCCUGCAAUGAAAUCCCCAACGCUCAAACACCACCAAGCCACCUACGGAUAGAGAGAGAGAGAGUGGGGAACUUAGCAAAAGCAGAGAGCUUCCUCUGCAACCCACGCCCACGCCCACGCCCACGCCGGUGACACUAUGGAGACGAAGUAGAGAGAUGAGAUACCAGCACCCAAGAUCGUCGCCAAUGUAGGAGGAGGGAUCCACGAAGGUGUUGCUGUCCACCCCGUGGUGAGGUUAGCAAAGAAAUGCCCUUAACCUCCUCUUCUCAGACACCUCAAAGACAAUCACGGCUUGGACUAAAAAACUUUUCAAAGACUUCAUCGGGGUCAUCUUUUUCAUCACGGGUCUUCAAUCAUGGGUCGUGAUUCUAGUCAAAAAAUUUUCCUUUUGAAGAGUUAUUGAUUUUUCAAAAAUUUGUCAGUUUGUUGUUUUGGUCUCUCUCUCUCUCUCUCUCUCUCAGUUUUGGGUGCUGUUUUGCUGUGAUUUGAAAGGAAAUUUGUUUGUUUAGAGUUUACCUCAAAAAAGUUUCGGUAACUCGGAUGAUUCGCCCGAGUGAACUCGGUAUCUCGACCGAAUCAACUGAGUUUAACCGAUUCCUGGCCGAAGAUGGUAUCGGGUAUCGGACUCGGCGCGGAACCAUGCAGCAUUGACUAUCAUGGUUGGGAAAUUAUUCAGUUUUUGCCUUUAGGUAUUAUAUUCUUACUGGUCAGGUCAGAUGUUUGGGGUCACAUUAUAUAGUCAUGCCCAGAUCCCGUAUUUCAAACAAGAAUCUGCUGCGGAAACUUGCAGAAGAUUCUUUUUGGAUUUGAUAAUUUUAAACAUUUGGCUUGGGGCUUGGAUUAUUCUGCUCAAAAUCUUCAAUAAGACAAAAACUUUUGAAGAAACUAUAAAGAAUAUUCAAAUUGCAUGGCGAAAUUCCUAUAAAAACUAUGCUUUUGUACAUACCUAUAUAUAGAUGACCAUGUCCCAAGAUGUCCAUAUAAAAUUAUGUCUGAGUUGGUAUUGAUCUUGUCAACGUCCAACUUUACUAUAUCUUAUAUUAAGCUUAUAUAGCAAUCAUCAUCAAAUGAAAUUAAUUAGAAAUACAAUAAAAUUGCCCGACAGAGGCCUAUUCAAAGGUGGAAUGAAGAUUGUAUAAUUUGUAUUGGUUGAUUUUGUAGAGGGGUGAGAAUCACUCUGUGCUGGAGAUCACCAUUUACAAGAAGGUUUGCAUUAAAGGGUACCUGGAUAAGUGUUCAGUUAAACCUAGCAUUCCUCUUCUGAUCCAAAAGAAAAUGGCAUCAACCACCUCAGAUUCAACAACAAUGAGGUAUGGCCUUUUUUUAAGCUACUAGUUGUAGACUGCAACUCAUAGCUGUUGAGAAUAAAAAGCAGUAGCAUAUUCUUAAUUACUAUUUAUUUUUGGUUUUCAGAUAUGCAGUUGUAACUGGAGCAAGUAAAGGAAUUGGACUAGAGAUAUGCAGACAGUUAGCUUCUAAUGGAGUCAUGGUGGUAUUAACAGCUAGAGAUGAGAAGAGGGGUCUUGAAGCUGUGGCAAAGCUUCACGAAUCUAGCCUGUCUAAUGUAGUUUUUCAUCAGCUUGAUGUGAUGGAUGCCAAUAGUAUCACUUCCUUGGCAACAUUCAUUGUGACCCGUUAUGGGAAGCUCGAUAUUUUAGUAAGGAAUCAACCCUUUUUGGAAGGACAUUUUUUACCCAUUUUCCUUCUGCUAGGGAAGAAAAAAAAUACACCUUGGGGAUUUGGGAGCUUGAGAUUAGUAUGAUACCUCACUUAGAGGGCUCUGAAAAAUUUAUACCUCAAUCAGGAAGACAAGCAAAAACAUUUUAAUCAUGUAGAGAAACAUUUCUUGUUGCAUUACUUCAUCUUACUGUGAUAAGAACAGUAAAAGCAAAUUUAAGAAUAAAACAAAUGGAAAUCAGAUAAGCUGCAAUUUAUUUGGAGUGAUUGCAAGCCAAGUGAGUAUAAAUACGAUAGCAAUAUUAGGAGAAUCAGAUGGAUUCUAAGUUGAUCCGCAAUAUGAAAUCAAAAUUUUAUGCAGGUUAAUAAUGCAGGGGUUACUGGAGCUAUUGUCGACUGGGAAUCAAUUGGGACAGCAAUUAAGACCUUAAAGCCUGAGGAUGGUAAGGUAUGUAAGUACAUGCUCUUGAAAACUCAUUACUAGGAAGUCUAAGCUCUUUCUCAAUGUCUAUCAACCAUAUAUUGAAAUGAAUAGUUUUGUAGUUUCAUUUCUAAGUUUAAAGAGGACAGAGUCAGAUAGUAUCAAUGACUGAAUAUUGUUUCACUCUUGCAGAAUAAUGCUGAUCUAGCUGAAUUGUUGCAUAAAGGCAUGAAGCAAACUUAUGAGUUGGCAGAAGAAUGUGUAAAAACAAACUACUAUGGCACCAAAGGAGUGACUGAGGCCCUUUUUCCAUGCCUUCUGCUAUCAAAUUCAGGAAGAAUUGUGAAUGUGUCUUCAGGUCUUGGAAGCCUUAAGGUAUGUAAAUGUAAUUGCACCUUCAAGGGGAAAUUCUAAAACCAAAUUCAAAGUUUAUAAUGCACUAGUCCUGUGUAGCAUUUCCAUUAAUCAUAAGAUUAAUGUUGAGCUCUUCCUUAUUUUAUCAGUUUGUCUCCAAUGAAAGGGUCAGAAUGGAGCUAAAUGAUGUUGAUGUACUCUCAGUAGAGAGAUUAGAUGAGAUAGUGAAUGAAUUCCUCAAUGAUGUUAAGGAGAACACGUUACAUGACAAAGGCUGGCCUACUCAGACAUCUGCAUAUACAAUCUCCAAAGCAGCCAUGAAUGCUUACACAAGGAUUGUUGCCAAAUCAUACCCAAGUCUCCUCAUAAAUUGUGUCUGUCCUGGUUUCAUCAAAACCGAUAUGACUUCCAACACUGGUUUCUUUACUGUUGAAGUGGGUGCCAAAGGCCCUGUUAUGUUGGCUUUGCUUCCAGUGGGAGGACCUUCUGGCCUCUUUUUCCAAAAGAUGGAGGCAUCAACCUUUUGAUAAGUCAGUUAAGAAUGAGUUGGUUUUCUGCUUUAUGUAUUUCCUAUGGUUGUAUUUGUAAGGUUAUCCAACUUUUCCUAUGCUUUGCUGAGACAAUUGGGUGAUAGAUGUGAAGUUUCUCUCGUAUUCGGUGUUAUAAUUAUGAACUUUAGCUCUGUUUGUGACAAUUGAUAAUAUUUUUAUAAGUAGGAACUAGGAAAAACCAGUCUCAUUCUUACUUUGGAAUGUUCAUGUGUUAUUUAUCUCAUCAUAUGCAAAUUAAUUCUUAUUUGAUAAAGAGAUUCCACGGUGUUGAGUUUUUAUCUAAGUUCCUCAAUGAAUUGAGAUCGAACACCAAUCCAAGACAAAGAAAACAAUACCAAAAAUCAAAACAUAACAAAAAAAAAACAAAAAACAAAAAACAAGCAGGAUUUAUGUGGUUCAGAUCCAAGAUUGAAUUCUACAUCCAUAGAUUAAGAUCACCUCCAAAAAUCCAUUAAGAUUGAACCAGUUUACACCCUCAAGAACCUCUGAGAAUCAUCAAGCUCUCACUACAGUACAAAGAAAAAGACUCGCAUUCUGAAAUCCUCACUUCUUUUCUUCAAUUCAGAAACUCUUUUUUUUUUUUUUUUUCCUCUCACACCUUUAUACAAUGAGAUAUCUCUCAUAUACAUGAGUACAUGAAAAAUAUGCUAAGCAAAACAGGUGUGCGAGCUUACACUUUCAGUUAGUUAAUCAACUAACUCUACUUACGUGGCCAAUCAAUUUUGGACCACCAAUUUCCUCAUUCUCCACCUUGGUUCAUAAUUGAUUUUGGAUUCUUCGGAUGAUGAAUUUGAUCUGACUUAAUCAUUAGUUGCACACGAUUUAGACCAAAUCCGGGCAAUACCUGAAUUUGCUUACCGGUACAACUUUAGUUGCCAUGUCUUGUAGAUUAUCAAUUGCGGAAAUCUUCGCCAACUUCACUGUUCCUGAGCUUACCACUUCUCUAAUGAAGUGAUAUCUAAUAUCAACAUGUUUGAUCCUUUCAGGAAACAUGGGGUUUUUACAUAGCUGAAUUGCACUCUGGCUGUCUGAAAAUAUUUCCACUACACUAUUCAGCACUCCAAGCUCCUUGACAAGUCCUUGCAACCAAAGAGCUUCUUUCAUGGCUUUAGUAACUACUAUAUAUUCAGCUCCAGUGGUUGAAAGUGCUACUAUUGAUUGUAGCUGUGACUUCCAGUUGACAGGUCCUCCAAAUAAAGUGAAAUAUAACUAGUAGUUAACCUUCUUUUAUCAAGAUCCCUUGCAUAAUUUGAAUCCACAUAAUGUGUGAUACCAACACCUUCUUUAGAAGAUCCAAACUUCAAUCUUACCCAAGAGAUUCCCUCACAUAUCGUAGUAGCCAUUUAACUCCAUUCCAAUUUUCCUUACCUGGGUAAGCCAUAAACCUGCUCAAAACACUUAAUGAGCUAUAUCUGGUCGUGAGCAUACCACUGCAUACAUGAGUGACCUUGUAGCAUUAGCAUAUGGGACAUAAUUCAUUUCUUUUCUUUCAUCUUUAGAUUGAGGACAUUGUGUGAUGUAGGACAACCCUAAGAUGGUUGCCUACACUCAAGGGUAAGUGGACUAGGAUUUUAUUUUUAGGGUGUAAGGAGAGGAACAAGGAAUAAAUUUUAUGGUAGAGAAAAUUAUAAUAUAAUAAAUAAAGAGAAAGAAGAAACAAUGAAGAAAAGAUAGAAAACCUUAGAGUCUCACUAAAGCCUUCUAGGAGUCUCACCUAGAAGAAAAUCAAUGGAGUCUCACCAUUGAGGGUUGCAACCUUGCAAUGAAAGAAAAUAUAAUAUUAUUCAUAUCAAUUCAGUCAUUUGAUUUACAUUGAUUAAUCUAUUUAUAGGCUUCUUUAAGAAAUUCAAAGUUUACUAGGACUCUAAUAACCUAUUAUGAUUUUAAUUCUAAUUAUAACAUCUAAAGUCUACUAGGACUCUAAUAACCUAUCAUGACUCAAAUUCUAAUUAUAUUAUAACUCAACUAGCUAAUCCUAAUUAGAUUUCAACAAAUACCAAUCCCAAUUCAAUUCUAAUUAAUAUUAAUUCUACUUAAAGUUUACUUAGGUCUUCACUUUUUUCCUUAAAUAAACUUUAAAAGGUUUUCCCCCACCAAUUCUCCCCGGCUUGAAAGAACUCGGCUUCGACAAGUUAGAUGCUUGAUACAAUUCAUAGAGAUCGGGGUUAAGCUUCUGAAAAUCCGUUGUCGCAAUCCAUUUAUUCUCAGAGUGUGGUUUGCCUUGCCAUUUCACCAAAAAAUUUUGAUAUCCACCUUGUCGAGUAGACAUAAGUUGAUCAUCAAGAACAUACUCGAUCUCAGGACGUGGGCUAAGAGUAGGUGGUAAUUGAAGAUCCAACUCUUCACUUACAUCGUUGUGAUGGCCAUGGUAGAUAUACAAAUCUUCCACAUUAAAUAUUGGACUAAAAUGCAAGUUUGAAGGGAGCUCUAACAAAUAAGCAUUCUCACCCAACCGCUUUAGUACUCGAAAUGGACCCAUUUUCUUAGCUUGAAGCUUUUGAUAUGUGCUCGAAUGAAAUCUUUCUGGCCAUAGACGAACCAUCACUAGAUCACCUUCUUGAAACUGAAUAUAUCUUCGAUGUGCAUUUGUUGCCUCUUUAUAGUUCUCAUUGCUGAUUUUGAUUUUUUCUCGUACCUUUUCAUGUAUAUCUCAUAUAUGACGUGCAAAUGCAUCACCAUCUUGGCUAGUGCAGAUAGAAGUAGGCAAUGGUAAAAGAUCAAUAGGUUGCUUAGGUUUCAACCCAUAUGCCACUUCAAAAGGUGAGUACCCAGUAGUACGAUUAGUGGAGCUGUUGAAAGCAAAUUCGGCUUGUGGUAAGACAUUGUCCCAAUUUCUCAACUGAUCUCUCACAGUGCAUCUCAAAAGAUUACCAAGGCUGUGAUUGACAACUUUUAUUUGUCCAUCAGUUUGAGGAUGAAAAUAAUUUGAAAACUUUAAUUGAGUACCUAGCUUGGCCCACAAGGUUUUCCAAAAAUAACUUAGAAACUUGACAUUGCGAUCAGAAACAAUGGAUUGUGGUAAUCCAUGCAAUCGAACUGCUUCUUUAAAGAACAAGGCAGCAACAUAAGAAACAUCUGAAGCCUUCUUACAUGGGAUAAAAUGUGCCAUUUUGGAAAAUCUAUCAACCACAACAAAUAUAGAAUCAAAGCCCCGUUGUGUCCUUGGUAAUCCAAGUACAAAAUCCAUGGUCAAGUCUUCCCAAGGUUCGGAUGGAAUUGGUAACGGUGCAUAUAACCCUGUAUUUUGCUUUGAAUCCUUUCCUACUUGACAUGCUCGACAUUGUUUGAUAACCUUCCAAACAUCCUUCUUUAAACUAGGCCAAAAAAAGCGAUCUUCCACCAAAGCAAUGGUCUUAUCUCGUUCAAAAUGUUUACCCAUUCCGCCUCCAUGAAGUUCCCAUAUGACAUGAUCACGUAGGGAAGUCCUUGGUGAGUAUAAACGAUUUUUAUAAAACAAGUACCCUUCUAAAAUUUGGAAAUCAAUACGUGUUGCUUUUGAACCACUCAAAAGAGAGGAAUGAACAUCUCCAAAAUCAGCAUAAUUGUCAUAGCAAUGCUCUAAUUCUUCAAAUCCAAUUGUAGUGGCUAACAUGUUUACUAAGAGAAGGGCCUUCCUACUAAGGGCAUUGGCUACUUUAUUUUCAAUUCUUGCACAAUGCUUUAAAUUAAAGGCAAACAACUGAAGAAAACUACUCCAUUUUGCAUGUUGAGAGUUAAGCUUCUUUUGAGAAUUAAGAUAUUGCAAGACUUUAUGAGCUGAAUACAAAACAAAUUCCUUAUAACUGAGAUAAUGUUGUCAAUGCCUAAUUGCUUGCACCACCCCAUAGAAUUCAAGAUCAUAUGUGGAGUAUUUUUUUUCUUUGCCCCAUUGAACUUCUCACUAAAGAAAGCCACAGGAUGUCCCUCUUGGCUAAGAACUGCUCCAAUUCCCACAUGGGAAGCAUCACAGGCCACCUCAAAUACUUUCUCAAAGUCUGGUAGACGUAGGAUAGAAAGGUUCACCAUCUUGGAUUUGAUUUCUUCAAAUGCCUUGUUGGUCGCCUUAGUCCAAAUAAAUAAACCAGGUUUCACGCAUUUAGUAAUUGGGACCAUAAUAGAGCUGAAAUUUCAAAUAAAUCGUCUAUAAAAUGUAGCCAUUCCAUAGAAGCUUCGCACCUCAUGGAUAUUUGUUGGUACUGGCCAAUCAACAAUAGCUUUAAUCUUCUUCGGAUCUGUUUCAACACCCUUAGAAGACACAACAAAGCCAAGAAAUACAACACUAGGGCUCAUGAAAGUACGUUUUUUCAAAUUAAUGUAAAAAUUUUCAACCUUAAGAGUGUGCAUUACUUGCUUCAAGUGUUCUUCAUGAUCUUCACAAAAUCGACUAUAGAUAAGAAUAUCAUCAAAAUAGACAACAACAUAACCCGCAUGAAGGUACUUGAAGCAUUGGUUAGUCCAAACGGCAUGACUAAUCACUCAUACAAUCCAUUCUUAGUUUUGAAAGAUGUCUUCCAUUCAUCCCCUUGUCUAAUACAUAUUUGAUGAUAUCCACUUCUUAGAUCAAUCUUUGAGAAGAUUACUGAUCCAACCAUCAUAUCUAGCAUGUCAUCAAGUCUUGGAAUUGGAAAUCGAUACUUGAUUGUGAUUUUGUUGAUUGCACGACUAUCCACACACAUCCACCAGGAUCCAUUAUUCUUUGGUGUUUGUAGGGCAGGAACUCCACAAGGACUUAGGCUUUCACGAAUAAAGCCUCUAGUAAGUAAUUCAUCAACUUGCCUUUUCAAUUCAGCAUGCUUUGUUGGAUUCAUUCUGUAGGCUGGUAAAUUUGGUAAUGAUGCAUCGGGAAUCAAAUCAAUGGCAUGUUGUAUGUCACGCAUAGGAGGGAGUUGAUUAGGUAACUCUGCAGGCCACAAGUCAGAAAAGUCAUCAAGGAUUUUACGUACGUUUGUAGGAUAUUCCUUAUCUUGUUCUUUAAAUUCUUCCACUUUCCGAGCCAUCAAAGCAAAAAUAACUUUAGUUUCCUUGCUCUCAUUUUCAAAUUGACACAUAGUAAGUACCUUUUUUGGUUGUGCAUUCUCCUCCGACUUCUUAAUUGGAGGGACUUCUUUUAUUGGACGAAGGAUCUUCUUACGUCCGUUGUGUAUGAGAGCAUAUAUAUUUUCAUAGCUAUCAUGUUGAACUCUUCUAUCAAAGAGCCAAGGUCUUCCAAGUAAAAUAUGACUUACUUUAAUGGGUAAGACCUUACACCGUACAGACUCUUCAAAGUCCUUACCAAAAAGGAAUGUUACUAAGCAGUGAAAACUUAUCGGGAUAGAGGUGUCAUUAACCCAUGCUACUUUGAAUGGAUUUGGAUGUCUCUCUGUUUUAAGGUUUAGCUUCUCAACAAGUUCUUGUGAAGCUAUCUUCAAACUGCUACCCCCAUCAAUGAUUAUGGUGCAUAAUCUCCCUUGACAAGAAAUACGUGUUUGGAAAAUGCUAGCAUGUCGCCAAUCUUCUUCUCGUUGGGACAAUUAAUAAAGGUCGUACUACAAGACUAUGUCCUUCCGUCAUACCAUCAUAGUAGUCACAUUCUUCACUAACUUCAUCUUCAUUGUAGGUCUCUUCUUCCUUUGGGUAACUUUCCAAUUCAGAUUAUGGUUAUUUAACACAAAAGUGUGAACCUUUGGUUAGGCAUACAACAACAUAAUGACCAUGCCCACCACACUUAAAGCAUAAAGGAGUCACGUCUACUUUUCUAUCUCCAAUACUCAUUGAAGUUUUACCCUUAUUACCAUUCUUAUGAGCCACAUUCAAAGUUUGUUGAGUGUUGCCCUCACCAUUCACAUGAUUAGAAGUUUUGAAGUUUGAUGUGCUUAAAGGUUUACUUGUUGUCCUGUUGGAGAAAGUGCUCCCAAUUUGUGAACUUGGAUGCUUGGAAACCCGAAAUUUGAGGCCUUCUUCUAUUUUGAGGGCUAGUUGAUAAACGUCAUCUACGGUAUUAGUGUGUGCAACUAUCAUCUCAAGUUGAAUCUCCAUUCGAAGUCCAACUUUGUAGCGGGUUGCAAGUUGAGCAUCACUUUCCCACACUUGAUUUCGAAUGCUCAAUUCAUGAAAUUCUUCUGUAUAUUCUUCAACGGACUUGGUACCUUGUUUAAGGGAAAACAAUUUUGUAUACAUAAGUUAUUCAUAAUCAAUUGGGAGAAAGUGCUCCUUCAUCUUCAACUUCAUCUCGUCCCAUGUGUCAAUAGGCGGUUGGCCAAUUCUAUGAACUUGAUUCUCAAUAUUAUGCCACCAUAGACGUGCUGCUCCUUUCAACUUUGCUUUCACAAAACGAACUUUUCUAUUUUCAGGCAUUGUAUACCAAUCAAAGUAAUCUUCCAUUGACAUAAUCCAAUCAAGAAAAGCUGUUGGAUUUAGUUUUCCAUAAAAUUCAGCAACUUCAAGACGUACCUUUUUUGUCAUAUCAUCAUCUAGCUCAAAAAGUUUGGCCCUUCUUUGAUUCCCCAUCAUAAAAUUGUCUUGUUCUUCGCGUGAUCGAAUUGGUGAUUGUCUAAAUUAAUGACUUGCGAUCUCCUCUUCAAUUGGUCAUUUUUCUUGACUCUUUUCUAAUAAUUUCAUAAUCUCAUCAAGUUUGCUAUUUAGUUGUAUUAUAGCAUCUUGAUGGGAUUGUUGUGUGGCUGAAAUUUCCUCCAAGCAUAUUGUAGCGGCAUCUUGAUUGCUAGAAGUUUUUUUGGAACUCAUGCUUGCAUAAGUUUCUCCACUCCUUAAUUGCAUAUGCCUUCAAGCCAAGAACCUUGGCUCUGAUACCAAAAUUAAUAUAGGACAACCCUAGGAUGGUUGCCUACACUUAAGGGUAGGUGGACUAAGGGUUUUUUUUUAGGGUGUAAGGAGAGGAACAAGGAAUAAAUUUUAUGGUAAAGAAAAUUAUAAGAUAAGAAAUAGAGAGAAAGAAGAAACAAUGAAGAAAAGAUGGAAAACCUUAGAGUCUCAUUAAGGCCUUCUAAGAGUCUCACCUAGAAGAAAAUCAAUGGAGUCUCACCAUUGAGGGUUGUAACCUUGCAAUGAAAGAAAAUAUAAUAUUAUUCAUAUCAAUUCAUUCAUUUGAUUUACAUUGAUUAGCCUAUUUAUAGGCUUCUCUAAGAAAUUCAAAGUCUACUAAGACUCUAAUAACCUAUUAUGAUUCUAAUUCUAAUUAUAACACCCAAAGUCUACUAGGACUCUAAUAACCUAUCAUGACUCAAAUUCUAAUUAUAUUAUAACUCAGUAGUUAAUCCUAAUUAGAUUCCAACAAAUACCAAUCCCAAUUCAAUUUUAAUUAAUAUUAAUUCUACUUAAAGUUUACUUAGGUCUUCACUUUUUUCCUUGAAUAAACUUUAAAAGGCUUUUCCCCAUUAUUGUGUCGUUGACAAUCGAAAAUGUCCAGCUAAUGGUAUACUUAUAGGUUUUGAAUUCUCUAAGGAAAACCUUUUCAAAACUUUUUCUAAGUAGCCCUUUUAUGGCAAAAACAAAGUACGUCCUCUCUGUUUCUUACAAUUUCCACCCUGAGUAUUCUUCUUGCUUUCCCAAGAUCCAUCAUAUCAAAUUAUGACUUUGGAAUCCUCUUCACCUCUUGAAUUUGUGACUUAUCUUUGCAAGCCAAUAAUGUAUCAUCAACAUAUAUUAGAAGAAACAUCAUCAGUCUUUCUUGUAAUUUCUUGUAAUAGAAGCAACCAUCAUAACUGCUCCUUUUGAAAUCAAUCUUUGGUAUAAAGGUAUCAAACCAUUUAUACCACUGUCUUGGGGAUUGUUUCAAUCACCAUAACUGCUCCUUUUCUGGCUCUUUAAAACCUUCAGGCUGAGUCAUUAGAAUUUUUUCUUUGAAGUCUCCAUGCAAAAAGACAGUUUUAACAUCCACUCCAAUUCCCAAUCAAGCUAAGCUACAAUGGACAUCAAUACUCUAAUUGAGGUAUGUUUCAACACUAGAGAGAACACUUCGGUGUAGUCAAUGCCCUCUCUCUUAGUAUACCCUCAAUCCACUAAUCUAGCUUUGAACCUUACUAGUUCAUUCUCAGUGGCACCUUGUUUCCGCUUGAAUAUCCAUUUACAACUUACCACUUUCUGAUUUGGCUUUCUUUCUAUAAGCACACAGGUCUGAUUUUUCUGUAAGGAUUCAAAUUCUUCAGUCAUUUUUGUGAGCCAUUUUAUUGAUUCAUUGCAGUUUAUAGCUUCUUGUUAAGAGAGUGGCUCACUCUCUUCAUACUCCAUAGUAGUCACUAGAGCAUAGGCAGUCAGAUCUGCAAAACCAAAUCUGGGGGUUUUAUGUUCCUCUUAGCCCUAUCCCUUGACAAGAGAUAAUCAGGACCUGCUUCUUGUGAGCUAGUGCCUGCACCACCUUCAACAUUUGAACCUGUCACCUUAGUAUCUUCUGUCUCUAGGCCACCAUGUGCUAAAUCUUUUUGUUAAUCAUGACCAUCCUGAGAUGAUAACUCCACUUCUAUCUCAAAAUGGUCUUUGUCAAGUGUCAAGCUCCUGUUUUUAGAAUCUUUCUCUGUACCUGCAGUGUUAGUCCUCAUGGAAAACAUUUCAUUUUCAUUAAACACAACAUCAUGGCUUAUUAUUAUUUUAACACUCAGAGAUUCCUUAUUCCACAGCCUAUAACCUUUGACACCCUCUGGAUAGCCUAAGAAGAUACAUUUUAUUGACCUUGGUUCUAAUUUUCUUUCCCUUUGGUGAACGUAAGCCGUGCAACUGAAGAUUCUAAGGUGAUCAUAGUUAGAAGGUUUUCCAACAAAGCUCUUUUGGAGUUUUAAAGUCUAUAGCACUAGAUGGAGUUCUAUUUACAAAAUAGCAAGCUGUCAUUAUAGCUUCACCCCAAAAAUGUUUAGAUAAACCAGAACUGUACAACAUACACGUCACUCUAUCUAACAAUGUUCUAUUCAUCCUCUCUGCUAGGUCAUUUUGUUGAGGUGUAUUUCUUACUGUUUUGCAUCUUAAGAUAACCUGAUAUUUACAAAACAUUUCAAAUUCCUCAUUACAAUACCCAAGUCCAUUAUCUAUCCUUAACACCUUUACUCUUUUAUUAGUUUGAUUUUCAAUCAAAGCCUUCCACUCCUCAAUCUUAGCUAAGGCAGUAUGUUCAUCUUUAAUUUUUAACAAGUAUAGCCAAACUUUUCUAAUCAUCAAUCAAGGAUAGAAAGUACCUGUUUCCACGGUGAGUAGAGACUUUUGCAGGCCCCCAUAAAUCUGAAUGCAUAUAUUCUAGUAUAUCCUUUGACUUGUGUGUUGCAGCUUUGAAUGUCAACCUAUGUUGUUUGCCAAAAAUACAGUACUGACAAAAAUCAAUCUUACUGAUGCUAUCCCCACACAACAGGCCCUGCUUGUGCAGUUCUUUUAGACCUCGAUCACUUAAGUGACCAAGUCUUCUAUUCCAAAGAACUGUUUUAUCAUUUCAAUUCUUAACACUGAUCCCAACAAACCUUUUGACGUGUGAUCUUCUAGGAUAUAUAAGCCAUUCCUCUUCAGAUCCUUCAUGACAACCAUAACACCUUUUGAAAUUGUUAAUUUCCCAUUUUCUGCUUUGAAGUUACAACCUGAUUCGUCCAAACUUCCAAGAGAUAUUAGAUUUCUCUUCAGGUCUGGUACAUGCCUGACCUCUUUGAGAGUUCUUGUCAUUCCAUCAAACAUGUUAAUAGCCACAGUACCAAUGCCAACCAUGCUGCAGUUCAUGUUGCUUCCCAGUAUCACCUUUCCACCAUUAACUUCUUGAUAGGAUGAAAACCAAUCUCUUCUUGGACACAUAUGAUAGGUGCAACCUGAGUCCAAGAUCCAUUCUUCAUGAUUUUGGUUCAAUGUAACAGUGAGUACCUCUACACUGUCAUAGCCAUCAUCUACAAUGGUAGCACUUCCUUGUACUUGAGUCUUUUCUUCUUCUUGUCGAUCUGGACAGAUUCUUCUCCCAUCUUGUUGCAAUGAUAACACUUGACAAUCCUAUAAUCUUUCUUACCUUUGGACUUUGAUCCUGAACAAGAUUUUCCUCUGUUUCCAUUGUUAUUUUUGUUCUGAGGUCUUCCUCUAACAGUUAAACUUUCACCACUGUUGGUUUUGUCAGAGGACUUCAUAUCCAACACCUUAGCAUUCAAGGCAUUCUGAACAUCAUCAAAUGUAAUGGCAUCUCUGCCAUAUUUCAGGGUUUCUUUAACAUGCUUCAAAGAUUUAGGUAGAGAGUUUAAGAGAAUGAUUGCCUUAUCUUCAUCCUCCAUCUUAAUGUCCAAACUCUCUAAAUCCAACACCAAUUUAUUAAACUCAUGUAAGGCAUACUGAAGUAUUAAUGACUGAAUAUUGUUUCACUGUUGCAGAAUAAUGCUAAUGUAGCUGAAUUGCUGAAUAAAGUCUUAACACAAACUUAUGAGUUGGCUGAAGAAUGUGUAAAGACAAACUACUAAAGCACCAAAGCAGUGACUGAGGCCCUUGUUCCAUGACUCCUGCUAUCAAAUUCCGGCAGAAUUGUGAAUGUGUCUGCAGGUCUUGGAAAGCUUGAGGUAUGUAAAUGCAAUUGCAACUUCAAGGGAAAAUUCUAAAACCAAAUUCAAAGUUUAUAAUGCAUUAGUGAUAUCUAGUAUUUCCAUUAAUCAUGAGACUAUUCUUGAGUUCUUCCUUAUUUUAUCAGUUUGUCUCCAAUGAAAAGGUUAGAAUGGAGCUAAAUGAUGUUGAUGUACUCUCGGUAGAGAGAUUGGAUGGGAUAGUAAUGAAUUCCUCAACGAUGUUAAGGACAUGUUACAUGACAAAGGCUGGCCAACUCAGACAUCUGCAUAUAUAAUCUCCAAAGCAGCCAUGAAUGCGUACACAAGGAUUGUUGUCAAAUCAUACCCAAGUCUCCUCAUAAAUUGAUAUUUGUCCUGGUUUUGUCAAAACUGAUAUGACUUCCAACACUGGUCUCUUUACUGUUGAAGUGGGUGCCAAAGGCCCUGUUAUGUUGGCUUUGCUUCCAAAGGCAGGACCUUCUGGCCUCUUUUUUGAAAAGAUGGAGGCAUCAACCUUUUGAUCAUAAGUCAGUUACAGGAAUGAGUUGGUUUUCUGCUUUAUGUAUUUCCUAUGGUUGUAUUUGUAAGGUUAUCCAACUUUUCCUAUUGCUUUGCUGAGACAAUGGUGUGAUAGAUGUGAAGGUUCUCUUGUAUUCAGUGUUAUAAUUAUGAACUUUAUAGCUCUGUUUGUGAUAAUUGAUAAUCCUUUUAAAAGUAGGAACUAGGAAACCAGUCUUAUUUCUUACUUUAGAAUGUUAUGUAUUAUUCAUCUCAUUAUAUGCAAAUUAAUUCUUAUUUAAUAAAGAAAUUCAUCGGGAUAGGACAUGGGAUUGGAAGCUCAAUCUGAACUGGCAUUCAGGUAUUUCAUCUAAUUUCUUCAAUGGUUAUCCGCUCUUGUUAGAAAUCGUUCAGUUCUCCACAUUUCUAUCACGCACAACUUGUUUCUCUCUUCUGGCUUGAGGAGGUAGAGGACAAAGUAGCUGAAUCAUUACCAAAAGCUCAUGAUGCCAACAAACUUUGCAAACCCAACAGAAGACGUCCUGCGAGAGGUCAAUGUAGUCACAAGAAUCUACAAUACCUCAAUAGAAUAUUUAUACAAACAUAUGGCAUUUUCGGCAUUUUUGCAGCAAUGGGAUAUUCUACUGCAUGCCAACAGGUUGAAGAAAAAGAGACAGUUGAAACUAAAAGGAUGGUUUACCCAUGUACUAUUAUAGCAAUUGACAUGGACUCAGAAAUCCUUUUGACAUGCCAUAAUUCAAUAUUUUCAUUCCUAAAGAAGCAUUUUUUUCUUAUUUGCCAUCUCUUACCAUAAUAAAUGAAUGUCGACCUAUCCUUAAAAGCCAAAAUGUGAUAUCUGCAUUGUUAGUCCUCAAACAUAUUCUGACACCUCAUGCUCUUGUCAACUUCUUGCACCUAUUCAACUAAUGCUAAAAGUGAAAAACAUGUCUUCCAUUCCCUUUGCUCAGGCGUUGUUUGAGGAGGCAAUCUUGUAGGUUCAAAUCACAGCAGAGGGAACCUAACGGGGACUUGUUUGAGAUAGAAGAUGCUAAAUUUCCAGUUGAUUGGCAUGAAGGUGGACUGGCUCCAUCUAAUUCACCGAUCAAAAAAGAAGAGGGAGAUGAAAGUUGGGUUGAAAAACAUGAAGUUCGAGGAUCACAGAGAUCAUCAGUGGGAAGACCUUUGCUCAGAGCUGCUGAGAAGGUCCAAUCCUAUAAGGAGGCUCCACUUAAUACCCAAAUGAGGAGAUUUGAGUGAAUAGAUUCUAAUUUGUACCAAGUUAUAACCUUUCAUAUAGUGAGGAGUUGAGCAAGAGCCAGUCAAGUCCUGAGGAAUACUAAAGUUUUAAUGACCAUGGAGUAUCUUGUUUGAUGAGUAAAUUUUAACAGAUGAUAAUGCCUACUUAUGAGAGAUGUAGAUUUCACAACAUUGACUUGCAUGGUUGGGAAAUUAUUCAGUUUUUACUUUUUAGGUAUUUUAUCCUUACAAGUCAGGUCGGAUCAGGUCAGGUCAGAUGUUUGAGGUUACAUUAUAUGGCCCAGAACCCGUAUUCCGGAAACUUGCAGAUGCGGAAAUAGGGCUAGUCAGCAGAAGAACUCGAACAAAUUUUACUACAAACAAAGGGGUCUGGUUUACUAGGGCCGUCAAUUACAGACUCCCGCUAUGGCUAUAAAUGAUAUCAGAUUAUUUUCAUUUUUCUAUUAGGAAAUAAAUCCUAAUUAUUUUGUAUUUUUGGUUUUUUGGUCAAGAAAUGUCGUGGGAGAUGGUGAAACUUAGAUGAUGUUUGUUUUUUUACUUAAUUCUAAAUAGAACUUUAAUGUUUAAUAAUGUUAUGCGUUAGAUUGUUUUUAUAAUAUGUUAUUUCUAUUAAAUAUUAAAAAAUAAGAAAAAAGAAAACCAACAUGUUACUUUUCCAUUUAGAAAAAGCCAAAAUAUUUUAUUUUUUCUAUUCAACAAAAAGUUUAUAAUAAUUUAUGAAAAUGUAGAAAAACAAAUAACUUAAAGUCUGAAAACAAAUUACUUUUGGUAAAAAGUUAAAAAAACAAACACCCUCUUAGGUGAUGUUUAUUUUUUUUACUUAAUUUUAAAUAGAACCUUAAUGUUUAAUAAUGUUAAAUAUUAGGUUGUUUGUUUUUAUAGUAUUUUAUUUCUAUUAAGUAUUAAAAAGUAAAUAAAAACUAAUAUGUUAUUUUUUUUAUUUAGAAAAAACUAUAUAUUUUGACUUUUUAUUUUUAAUAAAAAGUUUAUAAUAAAUUAUGAAAAGAUAGAAAAACAAACAACUUAAAAUCUGAAAACAAAUUACUUUCAGCAAAAAGCCAAAAAAACAAACACCAUCUUAGUUUUUUUUUUUAUAAUUUUAAGCAUUUGACUUGAAUUAUUAUGCUAAAAAAUCUUUAAUAAGAGAAAAACUUGUGAAAACCUAAAUGGAAUAUCCAAAUUGCAUGGUGAAAAUCCUAUAAAAACCAAGAUUUUGUGCAUACCUAUAUAAAGAUGACCAUGUCCAAAGAAGUCCAUAAAAAAUGACGUUAGAGUUGGCAUUGAUCUUGUCAACAUAUGUAACUUUAAUAUAUCUUAUAUUAAGCUUAUAUAGCAAUCAUCAUCAAGUGAAAUUAAUUAGAAAUGAUAUAAAAUUGAUGAACAAAUAACUAUUCAAAGGUGAAUUGAAUAUUGUAUUGGUUGAUUUUGGAGAAGGGUGAGAAUCACCAUGUGCUGGAGAUCACCAUUUACAAGGUGUGCAUGAGAAUCGCUAUGUGCUGGAGAUCGCCAUUUACAAGGUGUGCCUUACAAAGAACCUGGAGAAAUGUUCAGCUGAGCCUGACUUUCCUCAUCUGAUUCAAAAGAAGAUAGCUUCGACCAUCUCAGAUUCAGCAACAAUGAGGUAUAUAGGCUUUUUUUUAGCUACAACUUGUAAACCACAACUAAUAGCUGUUGAGAAUAAUGCAUCUACAUAUUCUUAAUUACUAUUUAUUUUUUAUUUUCAGAUGUGCAGUUGUAACUGGAGCAAAUAAAGGAAUUGGACUAGAGAUAUGCAGACAGUUAGCUUCUAAUGGAGUCAUGGUGGUAUUAACAGCUAGAGAUGAGAAGAGGGGUCUUGAAGCUGUGGCAAAGCUUCAUGAAUCUAGCCUGUCUAAUGUAGUUUUUCAUCGGCUUGAUGUGAUGGAUGCCAAGAGUAUCACUACCUUGGCAAAAUUCAUUGUAACCCAUUAUGGGAAGCUUGAUAUUUUAGUAAGGAAUCAACCCUUUUCGGAAGAACAUUUUUUCACUCAUUUUCCUUCUGCUAUGGAAAAAAAAUUCUUAGGGAUUUAGGAGUUUGAGAUUAGUAUGACACCCAACUUAGAGGGCUCUGAAAAUUUUAUACCUCAAUCAGGAAGCAAAGCAAAAACAUUUUAAUCAUGUAGAGAAACAUUUCUUGUUGCCUUACUUCAUUUUACUAUGAUAAUAACAAUAAAAGCAAAUUUAAGAAUUCAAGAAAAUGAAAAUCAGGUAAGCUGCCAUUCAUUUGGUAUUAUUAGUGAAAUCAAAAUUUUAUGCAGGUGAAUAAUGCAGGGGUUAAUGGAGCCAUUGUCGACUCGGAAGCACUUAAGACCUUAAACCUUGGGGACAGUAAGGUAUGUAAUUACAUGCUCUUGAAAAAUCAUAACUAGGAAGUCUAAGCUCAUUUUCAAUGUCUAUCAACCAUAUAUUGAGAUGAAUAAUUUUGUUUCAUUUCUAAAUUUAAGGAGGACAGAGUCAGAUAGAAUCAAUGACUCAAUACUGUUUCACUGUUGCAGAAUAAUGCUAAUAUAGCUGAAUUGGUGAAUAAAGUCUUAACGCAAACUUAUGAGUUGGCUGAAGAAUGUGUAAAAACAAACUACCAUGGUACCAGAGCAGUGACUGAGGCCCUUCUUCCAUGCCUUCUGCUAUCAAAUUCAGGAAGAAUUGUGAAUGUGUCUGCAGGUCUUGGAAAGCUUGAGGUAUGUAAAUGUAAUUUCACCUUCAAGGGGAAAUUGUAAAACCAAAUUCAACGUUUAUAAUGCAUUAGUCAUGUCUAGCAUUUCCAUUACUCUUUUAAGAUUAAUGUUGAGUUCUUCCUUCUUUUAUCAGUUUGUCUCCAAUGAGAGGGUUAGAAUGGAGCUAAAUGAUGUUGAUGUACUCUCAGUAGAGAGAUUAGAUGGGAUAGUGAAUGAAUUCCUCAAUGAUGUUAAGGAGGAUAUGUUACAUGACAGAGGCUGGCCAACUCAGACAUCUGCAUAUACAAUCUCCAAAGCAGCCGUGAAUGCCCACACAAGGAUUGUUGCCAAAUCAAACCCAAGUCUCCUCAUAAAUUGUGUUUGUCCUGGUUCCGUCAAAACCGAUAUGACUUGCAACACUGGCCUCGUUACUGUUGACGUGGGUGCCAAAGGCCCUGUUAUGUUGGCUUUGCUUCCAGAGGGAGGACCUUCUGGCCUCUUUUUCCAAAAGAUGGAGGCAUCAAUCUUUUGAUCACAAGUCAGUCUUUCCUAUUCUUUGCUGAGACAAUGGGGUGAUAGAUGUGAAGUGUCUCUUAUCUUCGAUGUUAUUAAUUAUGAACUUUAGCUGUGUGUGACAAUUGAUAAUCCUUUUAAAAGUAAGAAAUAGGAAACCGGUCUCAUUUCUUACUUUGGAAUGUUCAUGUAUUAUUCAUCUCAUUAUAUGCAAAUGAAUUCUUUUUUAAUAAAGAAAUUCCACGGGAUAGGGCAUGGGAUUGGAAGCUCAAUCUGAACACUCAUUCAGGCUUCCACAUCUGGUCAAGGGUGGGGCAUUGAUAUCAUUUACAACGACCUGCUUCUUAUCAAAUAGAAAUUCUCCACUUACACUCUAAGCCGCAUCCUCACACGCAUAUAUGUCAACAUGCCAAAAGCAUGGCCAACUCAUAUACCUGCAUAUUAUUCUCCAAAGCAGCUGUCAAUGCACACAAGGAUCAUUGCUAAAUUGUUUUUGUCAUGGUUUCGUCACAACUGAUGUGACUUCCAAUAAUGGAAUAUUUUCUUUUGAAACAGUCAGGAAAAAAACAACAGUGAUAUUCCCAUUUCUCAUUAAUGGAAGAAGCUUUCUUGGUGGUUUUUUCCUUCUCUCGGAGGGUUUUUUUUCCAAAUGCAGGAAGGAAGAAUGGUGAAUGUGCUUGCAAGUUUUGGGAAGCUGCAUGCAUGUCCUGAUUUCAUCAGAACUGAUUAUGACUGACUAUUCCCACGCCCAAUCCAACAAACAAAUGGGCCCAAGUUGUAAAGCCCCAACCCCACUUAAAGAUCAGCUUUAACUUGGACCAAGCGAAGCCCAAUCCGGAAAAUAAGUUAACUUGGGUUGCAGCUAGAGCUCUGCCCAUAGUCAUGGAGCAAAGAAUAUAAAAAUGCCAUUAGAAGUCAAGAAUUUUGUGCGACAAAGAUAGAAAGGUAGAGAAAGAGUUGAAUGGGCCAACAACCCCAGCUCAAUUCCUCAAAGGAUGUGGACACACAAGUAUUUACACAGUUUUCCUACAACUAGCUGGAUUGCAUUCCACCCUAACCGUGUGGGCCACUCUUCUCCACCAAAAGCAUGAAGCCCAAUCAUAACUCUGAAUGGAUGUCUAUAUUCUUUUCUUGUAUUUAAAUAUAUGUAUUUCGCCAUGUUUCAAGCUAUAAAGUAAAAUGAUUUGAAAGAGAUCAAACCUUCCUACCUAUAAUCUCCACAUCCUAAUUCUUCCCGCCUUCUUCAUCUUCUUCAAUUCCCACCACUUUUGACAAAUUAAAAUGAUUUUUAAAACAUUAUAUUUUGUAAAGUAACAGCAUUUAGUCAUUGACACUUUUCUUCCUAAGUCAUUUUCAAGUUAUUAAAUAAAAUACUCUCAACAUUUUUAAAAAAUAAAAAUAAAAAUAAAAACAUUGCAAAAAGAUAAAUAAGAUAUCAUGAAACAAUCAUUUUAUAUCUGACCAAAUAUUCCAAAAAACCCACCAUCCAUGCAACCACCAAAUCCCCAUAUAUCGUGUCGAGGUCCACCGAUACACGAUAUUUUAAUCAUUGGUAAGCACUACAAUGGCAAUCUCAUCACCCCUCUAUAAACCCUUCAAAAAGUACAAACAAGGUACGCGCACAUUCAAACGCUCACUCUCUCCCACAAAGCAGUUUAAGCUAUUUUUGCCUAACUUGAGCUUCGGAGGGGCAUGUCCGGGCCACCCGUCCGGACAUCCUUUAUGUGCAGGAAUUGAAUCCAUCCAGUUUCAUUAGUGCUACACGGAUUCUUUGAGAAGCACAAAGAGGGGGGGAAGGUCGUCUGACUUCAAUCAAUUUAGACGGGGGGAAGGUCGUCUGACUUCAAUCAAUUUAGACGGGGGGAAGGUCGUCUGACUUCAAUCAAUUUAGAUGGACCUAACUCUGGUUGGCUUAGCCUCAACAGCUAUGACCUGGAACACACCCCUAAUAAAUCUGAUUAAAUAUAAGAAAUUCUCUAUUUUUCUUCCCAAACUUUCGUUAAUGGCAAACUAUUUUAAUAUCAAAGCCGCAUAAGAUGAUGAUAAUAUAAAGAAUAAUAAUUUGGUUGGGGUGGGAAUGCAGUUUUUUUUUUUUUUCAAUCAAACUACUUUUUAUUGAGUUUAUUGUUUCUUCUGGGCUGCGAGUUGGGUUCGUUUGAAGUCGGUAUAUUCCCUAUUGAAGUGGUUUUAGGGUUUUUCUUUUUUCUGGGUUUGGAAUCAGGUUUGUGCAAGAUUGACUGUGUUUGUUCCAGGUUUGUAGUUUUAAGGUUCAAUUGGCAUAUCCAUAUUUGUUAACAUUCUUCUGCUGUGAAGGUAUCUAAGAGAAGUACCCAACGUAUAUGAUAAGCUUGAUGCACUUGGGCACUCUUGACACCAAUGUUGAAGGAAUUGAAAGAGAAAAAGGUCAUGUCAGAGCUCCAUCUCUGUUAGUAGAAGACCAGGAAGAGUUCAUUAUCUUGCGACCAAGCACAAUGUUAAUUGUGGAGACCUCAACUAUGAUGACCUGUGACUAUAUUCAAGUUCACCAAUUUGCUAGAAUAGUGUAUUGUGUUAAUCAAUGAAGUUGGAUGUUUAGUUGUUCUACAGUACUGGUAAGUUAGGUGUUACUCUAAAUAAUUGUACAGAAUAAUGCAAAUAGAAAAUGAAAAACUACUAAGGUUAUAAAUAAUUGGUAGUUAAUUGUAAAUCAAUUCUGGAUUCACCUUUGGCAUUCCCAAAUGGUCAUAUGGAAUCCAAGUAUCACCAAAAAGUCUUUUAGUUUUGAACUUUCUCCUUAUGAUUGAAACUCAUUUAUAUUUGAGGAUUGACUAUCUGUAUGGUAGGAGAUAAAUAAUAGGAUGACUAGUUGUCAACUUUGAAAAAGGCAGUAGAGUAAAGCAAUUAAGUAAAUUCAAUCGACUUUUAAAUCAGUUUUCAUUACUCAAUGAUAGAAGAAUCGAGCUUAUGAGUUCGAUACACCAAUUUUAUAUUUUCUUCCAUAUACUAAGGCCAAGCCUGGUAUGUUCCUAACCCUACAACUUAGACUUUUAUAUUAUCUUUAUUUUUCACACAACAAGGUGGCUGGUUAGUUUGUAUUGGUUUAUUUGAUGUUGAUGUCUAUUUUGUUUCUUUCUUUCUUUGGGCAGUUAACCUUAGCUACAGCCACUCAACUUCCCAAAAAUAACACAUUCCAUAGAACUUCAACAAUGUCAUUUGACUAGUAUCAAUGUUUUUCUUUCCCUUAAUCACCUCUCCCAACUCUUUUUCCCUUGGCACAAUUCUUAGAUGGGAGAGAGUGUUGAUAGGUGUGGAUGUUUUGUUUAUUGAUGAAUCUCUAGUAUUAGAUAAUCUUUCUAGUAAAGAAAAAUUAUUUGCAUUUACGGUUUCAAUUUUAUUUUCUAUGGGUUUUAUAAGAUUACAGUUUAGAUUUAUCAUUUAAAUUUUAAAGUUAAUGAUAAGUUGCUUAAUAGUAUUGGUGGAACAAAAUGAUUUCUUAUAGAAUCAUUGUUCAAAACUUUUCUUUUCUUACAAUUGAUGGUUUUUUGCCCUUCUUUCAAGCAAACAAAUGAAGGCAUAGUUAACACGAUUAUGGACAAUGUUUCAAUAGGAGGUAUAUGGAACUUAUGAUAUUGUACAAGAGUGUUGGACUAAUUAUACAAGGACAAUGCACUAACUAUACAAAGGGUGUACAAAAGAUUUGAAAAGAUUUUGAACCAUUCCCUAACUUGUUUCCCUCACCCAAGGAUUACACAAUUUCCUUACCCUCAUUCCUUUGUGAGAUACUCCUCUUGUGAAUCUUUGUACACUUGAACAUGGUAUUUGGACUACCUACCAUAGUAAAGAUGAUUGGGGAGUGCGUUUAGAUUCACCAUAACAAACCAUUGAAAACAUGGUUCGCACCUUUUGUUCCUAAGUCUUCUAUUCUUUUCUGAAUCAUAUCAUUGGAAACAUGGUACACACACCUAUAUGAAUACAUAAUUUAUGCAUGUGUAUGAGAUUUGCACCACUAUACAAAAGUAUUACACUAAAUGUAUGAUUCGUCCCUAGCAGCGGCAGUGGCAAUGGCACCAUCUGAUUCGGGGUUCGAUCCCCGGCAACGGCGCCAUUUGAUUCGUGCCCAAUUGGUGUCUCAGCUGAUUCGUGUCCAGCUGGUGCUCCUUGAUUGAGGGAGUAAUCAACAAAAUUUAUAACCUAUUACACCAUAUACUAGGAUAGCAAAGACAAAGCUACUAUAGCAUAGUGGCUCUAGGAUCGUUCACUGGGAUGGGUUUUCACUUCACAAAUGAUAUUAAUUCAAAGUUGAAUUGGUGCCUUUUCAUUUCAAGGUUAGCUUUAAAAGAAAAUAUAAAGAUGUUUGAAUGAAAAACGUUUGGCUUUAAGCUAACUAAAAAUAGUAACUGAUUUUAACUACAAAGAAAAGUGUUUCUUGGAGUUUAGAUCACUAGGCUCAAAUUCCUCAUACAAAAAGGGAGUUCCGGUCACUUGUUUAUUUUCCUCGCAUUAGAGAAUUAACAUAUAGUUCCUUCUCCAACCGGUGUUGUACAGAUGCUUCCCAUUAAUGGGUUCAAACACUAAAUCCCUCUCACUGAUGCACUUUGCAAUGGCUCAUACCUCUCACCUAGCACUUGCCAUUCAAGGUGAUCUUUAACCUUGGAUUACCCGUCAAAAGCUCGCAAGAGAUAACUAAUGGAUGUCUCCUUGGAGUCCAAAAGCUUACCAAGUGUUGGCUAUUCUAGAAAAUCCUACCUUCAAGUCACCUCCCAAAGGCUCGCAAGAGAUAAACUAGUGAAUCUCCAUGGAUGGAAAUCACUUGCCUUACCAAGUGUUGGCCCAGGUGACUCUAAGGUGUUUUAAGUUAACUAAAAACAUAGAAAUCACUAACGGGUCACACUUUCUCUUCAUUAAAAACUAAAACAACAAAACUUCCAAAUUAUGUAUGUGGAAACUUACCCGGCUUUCCUUACUCCAAGAGACAAAAAGCUUAGCCUCUCAUCCUCUGAGGAAAAAUCCUCAAAGUUUGGUUGGCUAGAAAAUGAAAAUGAAAGAGAAGACAAGAAUAUAUAUGAAAAACAGAGCAAGUGCUCUGUUCUCUGAUUCUAUAUAUGAUAUAUCUAUAUUACAUACUUCUCCGAGCGUCUCCUGAGAGUGUUUACAAGAGAGUUUAUAUAGGAAGGUAAUUUACCCUUCCUUGGAUAUUUCCUAGCUAAGGAAUUACAUGAGUGGUUGAAUACAAGGAGAAAAUGGAAAUUUAGACACAAAAAUCUGAAGAAAAAUAUCUAAAAGAGUCGGUGCAAAAAUAUCGGGAAGCUUCAGGAACCAUUUCGCAGGAGAAAAUGGUGUCUGCGAGAUUUCGCAGACACUCAAGAGGGCUGCGAAAUAUUUUCGCAACAACAAGUUAAACUCGCAGGGCUGCGAAAUUGUCUUCCACCUUGAGGUUCUCAGCGUUCCAGCUUGCGGCAUGUAUCGGGUAGCUUCAGGAGGAAUUCCAUAGCACUGUACAAAAAGGCUGCGAAAUUCUCGCAACAAAAGGCUGAUUUCGCAACACUUUGGAGUGAUCUGCUUGCAAUGGCUGUAACUCCUUCGUUUCAACUCCGAAUCGUGCACCGUUUGAAGCAUUGGAUUCUUGACUUCCUGAGCUUUGAAAUGGUAUAUAGAAUGUAGAAAAUGGACUUCGGGAAGUACUCCAAAAGUGCGCAUGAAGACUGCAGCUGCUUGUCCUCUGUUUUCUUCACUCUGUUUUUCCUUUCUCCUUGCUUCUCUCCUUGCAUACUUUGAACGACUUUGGCAAAGGGAUAUGGAGCUCCAAAGCUUGGUUUCUUCAUGAAUUUGAGCUUCCAAAAGCUUUGCCAUGAAUUCCAAAUAGCUCAUCCAUCAUUUGGCAUGCUUGAAUUGAUUCAUAAGCUGAUAAAAACAUGUAAACUUGCCACAAAAUAGUUAAAACCAAUUACUAAGGACCUUAAUGAAUUAAUUGGGUUAAAUGAAUAUGAUUACUACUCAAAGGUGCUUAAAACCAUUAUAAUUAGGUCUACAAAAUAGCACUUUUUGGUAGUAAUCAAUGUACAAGGUCAAUGUACUAAUUGUACAAAGAACGUACAAUGUUGUCCUUUUUGUAGUAUUUUAAUCAAUUUAUGAAUGAUGUUUUUUUUUUCUUGUAACCUGAGAACUACACACUCUCAUGCCACACACUCCUACAUCACACACUCAUCUCAUGCACUUUAUUACACUUGCACAUUGAUAUUUGAACACUUACCCCACCAAUGAUCAUUGGGGAACAAAAUUUGGAUUCAACUUUUCCUCAUUUUUUUGAACCAAAACAUUGAAAACAUGGUUAACCCACUUACAGACACACAUUCACUAGUAGUUGUAUGGAAUUUGCUCUAGUGUAUAAGGUAUUUAUACUAAGUAUAUAAGACAAUUGUACUAAUUGUACAAGGGGUAUACAAUAUUACAUUUCUUGAAGCAUUUAAAGGAAUUCUGAAAAACUUACUCGUUUAUUUCCCUUUGCCAAGAAUGAGGGACAUUCGUCACACACAUUGCUUGAUCAUAUACUCAUCUCAUGCAAUUUAUUGACCUCGUACAUGUUCAUUCAAUUACCUACCCUACUAAUAAUAAUUGGAGAAUAAAUUUGGAAUAAAUUUAUCCUUUUUUCUAAACCAAUUAAAUGGAAACAUGGUUAACCUACCCAAAUGCACACAUUCACUUCUACGUUUAUGGAAUUUGUGCUAUUGUAUGAAGUAUUUACCACAAAGGGUAUAAAAUACUACAUUUCUUAAAGCAUUUCAAGGGAUUAUGAAAAACUCACUCAACUCAUAUUUUUAAAUUUUAGCAUCCAAAAUUUCUAAUUACAUAUUUUCUUUUUGUAGUUUUAGCAAUAUUCUUUCUUUGCACAUUUUCAUCUCUUAUGAAAGAGGAUUAACCAUGCUAUUUAAAUCUUCCACAAUUUUUUUUUUGUGAGAAAUCCAUAGCAUACUAGUACCAUUGCUUGGAAGAAACAUAAUACAGCUUUUGAAUGACAAUAUUUAGCUUUUAAUUUUAAUGAAAAAUAAGAGCACAUGCAAAACAUAACAUACUCGUACCAGACUCAAACAUAACUAAAACAAUUUCUAAAUAACAAACAUGAUUGUGAAUGUUACAACACAUCCAAAUAGAAAAUGAGCAAGAAAAUUUGUUUUGUGAUAAGUUGUUUAACCUCUUGUAUGAUUUGUAAAUGUUACCCUUGUAAUCUAUAACUUAAGUUUGGCAUUCAAGCUAAGAUGUGUACACACCUAGUCUCGUCCCAACAAAAACAACAUAGAACUUGUCUUCAUUUCCUAUCUCCGAUUUCUUGUAAGCACACCUACAACUAUAUUGUUAAUAGUGAUGAAAACAAAGCAACAUCUAUCUAUGAGUCUUUCUUCCAUGUUUGUUAAAAAUAUUGGCACACAAAUUUAAAUGAAAACAUCAAAUAUUGACUUAUUCGCAUAAAAAUACUUGAAUAAGAUGCUUGAUCGACAUUACAAAUCAAGGUUGCUUAGACGAUGCAUGGAACCGACCAAUGGUGUUGAAGGUUAUAUUAUUUAUAGACUUUGAAGAUUGGUCGGAGGACCUAUUUGCAAGAUUGGCAUGAGGGCCUACUUGCAAUACAAUAUAUAUAUAUAUAUAUAUAUAUAUAUAUAUAUAUAUAUAUAUAUACACAACAACUAUAUAUAGGUUUGAAUUAAGAUAUGCAUGGUUGGUAAAAAAUGUAAUUAUGAAUUCAUAUUUGAAAUGAAUAGUAUUACUGCAAUGAACCAUCAAUCACUCUUAGUCAAUUGUAAAAUAUAGUUUUUAUUUUUUUUCAUACCAAAAUCUAUUUUACCUAAUCUAUGUCAUUGUAUUAUGCUAUCCUAUAAGGUUUUCAAAAUGAAUAUAUUCGAUUUCCUAACACAUGCAAUAUGUGAAUCUUAUCAAUGUUGGUGGUAAAUUUAAAAAAAUGUCACAUCUACAUACAACACUAUGCAUAUCUUGUUUGCAAUUUGAGGAGAAAAACAAAGUUUAUCAUAAUUUCAAAGCCAUUUGGUUAAUUAGUUACCACAUUUAUCCCAAAAUUUGAAGUACAAUAUUAAAUAGGAAACCCAAGGGUAAAUUUUCUAAGAUCAUUCAAAUGCAUUUUAAAUUAAAGAACUCAUUUCAUACCGUCUUGGGUGAACAUGUUACUACUCCUCAUCAAAUAUUUCAAAGUCUGAUUUGUCUUACGACAAAAAGAGAAUUUCUUCUUCAUCUUCUGCACUUAGUUCUUAACCAUUUACAACUUCGUUGUUGUGUACUUCUUGUAGCAUUAUAACCCUAGUUUUUCGAAUAGUCAUGUUAUUUUCCUCCCUAAUCUUGUUUCGUGUUUCGAUAAAACUAAUGUGAUUGUAACUACAAACAAACAACGAUUUUCUAUGGGGUACCCAUACACCUAAUGGUCAUAGUUCUUGGACAAGAUUCUUUGACUCCUCAACCCGAUGUCUCCACUCACUUUCCAUUGUACACAUGGUCACAUCAGAAAAUUCAUCCGAUAGUUUUAGAGAGUACAUGAAAUUAUCAUAUCCUAUUUCCCAGUGUUAAGAAAUAGUUUCAUAUAGUUACAAGUUAUACACGUGUCAUAUGCUCAUUGUUUUCUUCUAUUAUUGUUAAAUGAAUUGUUAGAUAAUUUGUUAGUUAGGUCUACUAUAUAUAUUACUCUAUAAAUAAUAGAUUAAAGAAAGAGAGAAAAAUAAAACAGAAAAUCACUUUACUUUCUUAGUUUUUGUUACCUCCCUUUCUUAUCUUUGUUACUUUCUUUACAUGGUAUCAGAACGUUCAUCCAUGGUCAAUUCCCUCACCUCCACUUCUUCAUUCUCAUCCUAAUUUGUUAUGAUUUCCUUUAAUCACUCAAUUUCCAUAAAACCUGAUCAGAAUAAUUUUCUGAUUUGGCGUCAACAAGUUGAAGUUGCAAUCAAGGGUUACAAGUUCUCAAAGUUCAUCAAUGGAAUCGAUACUGCACUUCCAAAAUUUCUUUCUUCCACAAAUGAAACAAGUGGUAAAAUCAAUCCAGAUUUCUUUGAUUGGGAACAACAUGACCAAUUACUAGUCUCUUGGCUCCUUUCAUCAAUGCCCGAAGGGCUUUUAACGAGAAUGGUUGGAUAUGUAACUUCUUUUCAUAUUUGGGAGAAAUUGGAGGUUUUAUUUAUUCUCAAACUUGUGCCAAGAUUGAUCAGUUCAAGACGCAACUCAAGAGCUCUCAGAAAGAUUCAUCAUCCAUGAAUGAUUAUCUCUUGUGAAUCAAAAGCAUUGUAGAUAGCCUAUUAUUGGUUGGCUAUUCUAUCUCUAUUUUAGAUCUUAUUGACGCAAUUUUUGAAGGAUUAUCCUCAAAGUAUGACACUUUGAUUAUUGUUGUUACCACACACACAGAUUCAUAUACUGUUGAUGAAAUAGAGUCUGUUUUUUUGGCUCAAGAAAGUCGCAUUGAGAAGGCUACAAAAGCUUUAGAUUCUAAUUUGAGUGCUAACUUAGAAACUCAAAGCCAGAAUAACAAAGACAAAAAAAAAAUGUUUGAUAAUUCUUCCAAAAAUGGCUUUUCUACUUUUGUUCAAGACAAUUUUCGUGGUCUCAAUAAUUUUCCUAGUAGAGAAGGUUCUAGUAGUCGUGGAUUCAAUAAAUUUAGAGGUUCUGGUAGUAAAGGUUGUGAAGGCUUCAAUGUUGGUCGGAAUUAUUGGAAUUUCAAUAAACCUCAAUGCUAAUUAUGUGGUCAUGGUGGUCAUUUGGUGCAACAAUGUUACUACAAAUUCGAUCUAUCAUUCUAAGGCUCAUCUUCAUUUCAAAAUGGAUUUUCUUUUGCUCAAGAUUCAUCACGAAUGACUACCAUGGUUGGUACUACUCCUGAAUUUGCCUAUGACUCUAACCGAUACCCAGAUUUUGGAGCUACAAAUCAUAUCACACCAGACAUUCAUAAUCUGAUGAAUAAAACUAAAUUUGUUGGGCAAGAUAAGAUCAUGAUGGGUAAUGGAACAGGUUUGAGCAUUAAACAUAUUGGACAAUCAUCUUUUCAGUCUCAAUUUACUUCGAAAUUGCUCUCUUUGAAUCAUCUUCUUCAUGUUCCUUCUAUUACCAAAAAUUUGCUGAGUGUCUCUAGAUUUGCCAAAGAUAACUCUAUGUAUUUUGAAUUCUUUCCUAACUUCUGUUAUGUCAAAGAUCGGGCUUCCAAGGAAAUUCUCAUGGUAGGGAGAGUUAAGAAUGGAUUUUAUGUAUUUGAUGAUUUUGCACUUCUGUCUUCAGCAAAACCACUCUCAAUUCCAUCUUCUACAGCAUCUUAUGAGUCCUCCAUUUUUUCAUUUCAGAAUCAUAUUUCUAGUCAUUUUCAAUAUAAUCCUGAAUCUUGUAUUGCAGUUAAGGAUUCUUCUAGUUCUUUGAAUACUUUAGGUCUAUGGCAUCACAGACUUGGACAUCCAUAUCUUAAAAUUGUAAAGUUUGUUAUGUCUAACUGCAAUAUUUCUAUUCCUAAUAAAAAUGCAGUUUUCUUUUUGCUUAGCUUGUUAUUAUGGCAAGAUUCAUAAACUUAUUUUUUCUUCUUCUAACACUAUUUACACUCAACCCUUACAACUUAUACACUCUGAUUUAUGGGGCCCCUUUCCACUUCAAUCAUCUAGUGGUUAUUACUACUACAUUCACUUUGUCGAUGCUUACUCAAGAUUUGCUUGGAUCUACUUGCCUAAACAUAAAUCAGAUGCAUUUUAAGCAUUUCUCAAUUUCAAAACUCAAUUGAAUAACAAUCAGGUUUUAAAAUCAAGGCCAUACAAACAGAUUGGGAUGGAGAAUAUAGAGUUUUCACAAAUUUUUUAACUUCAAAUGGCAUUCUUCAUAGAUAUUCUUGUCCUUAUACUCAUGAACAAAAUGGUUUAGCUGAAAUGAGGCAUAGAACCAUUGUAGAACAUGGUCCCACCUUGUUAGUAACUGCUUCAAUCCUAAUGAAAUAUUGGGAUGAAGCCUUUAGAGCUUCUGUUUAUUUUAGCAAUAGAUUAUCAAUAUUUUUUCUUCAUCAUAAAACUCCUUUAGAAGUUUUGUUCAAAACCCUAUUGGAAUACUCUUCCUUAAAAAUAUUUGAUUGCUUCUGUUUUCCUAACAUUCGUUCAUAUAACAAACACAAGCUUCAAUUUUGAUCCACUAAAUGUACCUUUUUGGGUUAUAGUCUCAAUCAUAAAGGCUACAAAUGUCUUGAUUCUAAUGGCAAAAUUAUUAUUUCUCAGGAUGUCAUUUUCAAUGAGUCUUCAUUUCCUUUUGCUCACAAAAUUCAAUCAUCCUUAUCUAAUUCUAUCUCACCCUCUUUUCAUCAUUCUGCUACUCCCCAAUAAUUUUUUCCUUUGGUAGCUUUACUCAUCCAGAAAUUGUCCAAUCUAUUACUAAUGCUUCAACACCUAUUGUCUCUCUUCUAGCUACUAAUACUUAUGACAAUGUUGCUGGUCAUAAAGCUCUUUCACAGGACCAAUACAAUAAGAUUUAGUUUUUGUUCCAAUGCAACCUUACAAAAAUACUCAUUCUAUGGUCACUUGGUCUAAAACUGAAAUUUUUAAACCAAAGGUUUUGGCUACCACAUGUGAACCUACUUGUGCUUAGGAAGUUUUAUGCAUACAUCAUUGGAAACAAGCAAUGACUUAUGAAUUGAUGGCUUUUCUGAAGAAUAAUACAUGGUCCUUAGUCCCAUUACCACCUAGAAGAACACUUAUUAGCUGCAAAUAGGUAUUUAAAGUGAAAGAAAACCCCAAUGGUUCAAUUCAAAAAUACAAAGCUAGGUUAGUGGCAAAAGGGUUUCAUCAAGUUGUUGGUUUUGAUUUCACAUAAACUUUCUAUCCAGUUGUUAAACUUGCAACUAUUCAGGGUAUGCUUACUAUAGCUUUUUCUAAAGGUUGGUGAAUUCAUCAAUUAGACAUUAACAAUGCCUUUUUGAAUGGAGUGUUGCAUGAUGAAGUUUUUAUGAAACAACCUCCUGAAUUUGUUCAGCAUAACCAGUCUCAUCUUGUUUGCAAAUUACAUAAAGCUUUAUAUGGCUUAAAACAAGCACUAAGGGUCUAGUUUGAAAAGUUAAGUGCAACCCUAUAUUCCUUUGGAUUUAUCUCUACCAAGUCAGAUCAGUCUUUGUUCAUUCGUGUGACAAAAAGUCAUUCUACCUAUAUUCUUAUGUAUCUAAAUGACAUUCUAAUCACUGGUAGUAGUGAACAAGUUGUGAUGCAUCUCAUUACUAGUUUAAAUAGAGAGUUUGCCUUAAAAGAUCUUGGAGAAGUCAACUAUUUUUUAGGGAUUGAAGUGAAGCAUACUACUAAAGGUAUCCACUUUUCUCAAGGAAAAUACAUAACUGAUCUAUUAUGCAAAGCCAAAAUGCAAGGUGCCAAUCCUAUUUCUACUCCCAUGACUAAUGGACAGAAACUUUCAAGCUAUGGAAGUGAAUCAAUUCAAGACGUGAAGUUGUACAAAUCAAUUGUAGGAGCUUUGCAAUAUGUAACAGUUACUAGGCCUAAAAUUGCCUAUAGUGUUAAUAAAGUUUGUCAAUAGAUGCAAGCUCCAUUAGAAUCUCAUUGGAAAGUAGUCAAAAGAAUUCUCAGAUACUUAAAAGGAACUCUUCAUCAUGGAUUACAUUUAAGAAAAUCUCCUAGUUAGAUUUUGGUAGGCUUCCAGAGCUGUGAUUCUCUAGUUUAGCUUUUAGAGUUAGUUUUUGAUUUGGCUUCCAGAGCUAUUAUUUUCUAGUUUAGUUUUUAGAGUUAGUUUUUUUGUUGGCUUACAGAGCUAUUUGUUUUCUAGUUUAGCUUUUAGAGUUAGUUUUUGGUUGGCUUCCAGAGCUGUUAUUUUCUAGUUUAGUUUUUAGAGUUAGUUUUUUGGUUGGCAUCCAAAGCUGUUUGUUUUCUAGUUUAGCUUUUAGAGUUAGUUUUUGGUAGGCUUCCAAAGUUGUGAUUCUCUAGUUUAGCUUUUAGAGUUAGUUUUUGAUUUGGCUUCCAGAGUUGUUAUUUUCUUGUUUAGUUUUUAGAGUUAGUUUUUUGGUUGGCUUCCAGAGCUGUUUGUUUUCUAGUUUAGUUUUUAGAGUUAGUUUUUUGGUUGGCAUCCAGAGCUGUUUGUUUUCUAGUUUAGCUUUUAGAGUUAGUUUUUGGUAGGCUUCCAGAGCUGUGAUUCUCUAGUUUAGCUUUUAGAGUUAGUUUUUGAUUUGGCUUCCAGAGCUAUUAUUUUCUUGUUUAGUUUUUAGAGUUAGUUUUUUGGUUGGCUUCCAGAGCUGUUUGUUUUCUAGUUUAGCUUUUAAAGUUAGUUUUUGGUUGGCUUCCAGAGCUGUUAUUUUCUAGUUUAGCAUUUAGAGUUAGUUUUUGGUUUGGCUUCCAAAGCUGUUGUUUUCUAGUUUAGCUUUUAGAGUUAGUUUUUGGUUUGGCUUUCAGAGCUGUUAUUUUCUAGUUUAGCGUUUAGAGUUAGCUUUUUGGUUUGGCUUCCAGAGCCAUCGUUUUUCUCAGUUUAGCGUUUAGGGUCAGUCCCGUCAUUCAGAGUCACAGCUCCUAGCGUUCAUAUUCACUGACAUUGCGCAUCUUACCUUCAUGGUUUUGCAUUAUUCCUCGAUUUUUCCUCACUUCGUUACCCCGUGCUUAUCGCCUAUUCAUCUCGUAGUCCACAUAGGGCAGUCUCCUUUAGACGUAUUUUUGUUCGUACUCCAGGGUGGUUCGACCGUUACUCAUCUUUGACGUCGAUCUUCGAGUCACUUUUGGAGACAUCUUAGAGGGAGCCUGGAUCCUUAGUGUGGCUUCAGAGGCAUUUUGAGACAUCUUUCUCCUUUAGGAUUAGAGCCUCGUUGUUCAUCUGUUAGUCCGAGUGAGUUCGUAUCUCACUCGUAUCCUUAUGGGGGUUUCUUUGGAUUCUUCGGUAGAGUUCACUUCAUUACACUCACUAGUCACACUUGCUUUUCAUUCCAGUGUUCAUGUUCCUUACACUUGUGAACUCUACCGAAGAGGGGCAUAUUUGUAGACCCCCAUGUGAGGCUUGUUUUGCUGCAGCUUGUUUGGCCAGGUGUCGCGAUCCUAAGCAUCCACUUGUCAAUCCCUGAUUGGCCAUCAUGGAAUCAGAGUAGUGCUUUUGAAGGCCAAUCAGGAGUCGACACGUGUCCAAAGAAUCUGCAAAAAGCUGCAAACAGUUAGAGGAGCGGGGUGGCCAGUUGCUUGGUCUCUUUCCUGGCCGUUGGAAGAUAUUUUUGAGGGAGAAAGAAAAGCCAGUUGCAGGUGAGAGUGAGUGGAGGCUGGCAGCUGCAAAGAGAGGUGGUGUCGUCUGGCCGUUGAGGAUACUUUUAGCUGGCAGCUGCAGCAAAGGAAAGGGGGAUCCCAUUGACAACUAUGAGGAAUUCUGGAGAGCCGUUUGGGAGCUUGGGCAGGGAGCUUCCUAGAGGAGCUUUUCAUGCUAGUCUGAGAGAAGUUGAGAGGAAGAGGGUCUUGAGCAGGCCGUCCGGGGAUUGCCAGAGGAUUGCAGAGGGAGUUUUUUUCCAUGAGAGAGGGAUUUCUGGAGCUAAAAAAGGAGCGAAAACUGUGAGAGGUGAGGGAUUCCAAGGGAAGUUUUCUGGAGUUAGAGGAGCGAAAACUGUGAGAGGUGGUGCUUUUCGGGGGGUGCUUUGGAGAGAGGAAAGAAGAGAUAUUUUGAGGGGGGUUCAUGGGAGCUGCAGGAGAAGGGGGUGCUGUUGAGAGGGGGUUCUUUUUAGCUGUGAGGGGAGGAUUUUGAGAAGAACAGAGAAUAGCUUGAGAGUAGGAGACGAGUUACAAGAGAGGAGAAACACAGCAGUCUCCUUGCUCAUUUCAGCUGGGAGGAAGCCUUUCAGGUGCGUUUUUCUGGACCAUAUACUUAUUGCAGUUGAUUAUCUUGAUAUUGUUGUGACUGUGUUAUAAAUGAUGUGUGCCUUGUUCUUCAUAUGAAAUUUAUUUAAAAGUGAUUCGAUUCCUUUUUAUCUCUUCAUUGGGUGCUUUGAGUCAUAUCUUUGGGUCCUAUUUCCACUGAUUUUCCCACAUGUACAUGAGCCUUUUGACUCCAAUAUGAAAGGGAGCUCGGGUCGGUGUUUUCUUUGGUUCAGUUGAUACUCUGUUUUUGUGCUUGUUCCCUUGUUGUUCAUACUCUGUUCUCGAUGGCCAUUCAUGUCCUCCAAGGAGAAGAGUUUUUUUGGCCAGCAUUGCUUUGAUUUCUGUAUGGGCACAGUCUCUGAGUUUGGGUAGCAAUUGUUUUGUUUGUUCGUGAGAUUGCUGGAUAAUUUUGCUCAAAAAGAUUGGUGACGGCCAUAGCAAGGCAUUAAUGCUAUCUCUCAGCUACUGAUGAUUCUGGAUACAUAUUCGAGCCUCAACAAGGGCAAGGUUGUCGCCCACCUAUCAGAUAUGAGAUACUGUUGCUUAGAGAAUAAAGGUUUGGAUGCUUAGUUGAGAGUGUUAACAGAGCAGAAAAGGCCUCAUUUGAACGCUAUGUCAUCCCCCAUGGCCUGAAACUCCAGUGUUUCCCCCAGUUAUCGAAGCGUUGAUGCAACUUACCUCCAGUGUCAGAAUCAAAAUCUUGUUCAGCAGUUAGAGGUGCAGAAGCAUGAGUUGCAUGAUCUUGAAGACAGAAUCAAAGAAUUAAAAGACAGGCCAACUUCAUAUGAUGACAUGUACGUUGAUUACCAUGAACCAACUCUGGAGUUAGUUGGUUGAUGAUUUAAUCCUACUUGGAGUACAAGUGGGGGAAGGUCAAAAUGCUAUGCAAACCUUGGGCCAUGCGGACCAUUCUUGGGGUCUGAUUCCAUCAUAUCCUGCUGAGGAGAUAUUUCUCUGUAGGCUGCUAUAAACAGAUUCUUUUGAAAGCAAUGGAAAUGAUGGAAUUGUUAAAUAUGUUGAAGAAGCCCUUGCUUUUCGACAUUCUUCUACUCUGGAGUUGAUGAAACCUCUGGAAGAUACCAUCGAUGCUCAGAGGGUCAAAACAGAAAGCAUAGCACGGGUUUUGCAUGGAAAGCUAUCUGCAGAAGAUGCUAUCAUCCAAUUAAGUAAGAUUGAUGUUUUGAUGAAAGAGGAGGCUAACAUCUGCGUGAGGUGAGCUGGAAGAGAGCCUGGAAGAACUUGAAGAAAGUAGAAGAAAGCUAGUUAAUCUGAAAAUGCAAAAGGAUGUAGCAUCUGUUGGUGCAUACCCCAAUUCAGAGUGCUAUAAAUGGAAGCUUGUCCCCUGAAAAGCAUGCAGACAGGACAAUGGAUUUCAGAGAAUUGAAGGAUUCAGUUGAGGAAACGAAGAUACUGGCAGCUGACCGUCUUUCUGAGCUCCAUAAGGCACAGGAAGAUAAUCUAAUCUUGUCUAAACAGUAGCAAGAUCUACAGAAUGAACUGAAGGAUGACAAAUAGGUUGACAGGGCUUAGGUUGUGCAAAGGUGGAAAGAACUGAAUGCUGUUUCCCCCAGCACCAAUGUAGCAGAUGCAAAUCUUAUAAGAAAGCCAAAAAGAAGUUGUUCUCGAACGACGCCGGCGGCGAAGCGCCUCCGCCAUCACCACCUCACUGCCAACUCAGUCCAGCUGGGUAUCAAACUCAGCUACGGCAUCCACCACUGCCAACUUAGUCCAGAUGGGUACCAAAUUCAGCUGCAAUGUCUAUUUCUCAAGGUCUUGCGUGGCGUCGUCGAUGGGCAUCAUCACCAAAUCUGCCAUGGUCGUGGCCUUGGCCACUGUUGACGACGCUGGGACCAUCCACUCCAGCAACUCCGCCGUUCCGAGUGCUUCUGGCGGAGAUCCUGUGCAUUCAUCUAGUGCCAAUAAUUUCUUCUGUUCCCUGCUCGGUCAAAACGCGCUAAUGUGUUAGUGUCAGGAGUAGGUCCUGGCACUCCUAUGAUUUGUCUCUAGUUCAUCAAUGAGUCUCGAAUAUUCACCACCUCCAAGUGUUCGCAUCUUUGUUUUUAAGCAGCUUCUGCCUCUACCCCGUCUUUUACACUGUUGCUAUGGAAGUACAUGGCAAGCACAAAUGGGAGGUGUUAUAGGAUUCACCAUGAGGUUGAAUUAGGAAGAGUAGCGGCUGAUCAUCUCUAAGUUCGAAUCUGGCAAUGUCGGGAAUUAUGUAGUGAUGUCUAACCUAUAUGAAGCAGGUGCUAGAUGGAGAUGGCGUCAUGGAGAUAUGGAUGCUGAUGUGGACAUCUCGGCAUUGUCAGACAAUGGUCAGAUAACAGGAAUGCUUACUCAGCUCAAGAGAGUAAAUGACUGGUUGGAUGAGAUGGGGUCUAGCAAGGAUCAAGGUCGUGCUCUGUAUACGCAGGCAGUCAAAUACCUUCAUUCGAAAGCAGAAAAUACAGAGGAUGACCUCAAAGCGGCCUCCUUUAUUGAAAGAACUGAAGAAAAACCAAGUAGCUCAGAAAUGAGUCCAGAAGAAGUGGCUGAAUUUGUACCUGUUCAAAAUCACGUAGCUGCUCAUGUGCUAGAAAUGCAAGAAGUUCAAGAAGGGCCUGCAAAGGCUGUCACUCAUGUUCUUGAUAAUGAGAAUUUUCAGGUACCCGGGCAUCUUCACUCUUCCUCUUCAGGCUUUCUCUGCAGAAUCAAGCAAGAGGUCUUCAUGAUCCUGAAGUUCUGGCAAGGGAAACAGUGUUUAGUGUGAGUGAAAUAGAGGCACCAUACGAGCUGUUUAAGAAGGUCAGCAGCGCUGUGAUUGAUGGCGGUACAUUCAAUGGUUUGAGUUUGACGCAGGGUUUUCAGAAUUUGAUGAUCCCAAUCCACAAGUUGAUUGAGUAAGCACAGUUAUGAUCAGGAUUUCAUCCCUGCAUGGCCAUUCCUCACCAACUCCCCCACUCAAGUAUUUUUGCAUGGAGCCUUAGGCACGUGUCCUCCUUUCUUUUAUUCUUCAUCAUCUUUGAUUUUAAAACAAUUGCCCCAUGUCCCGUUUUGUAAAUAUUUUCUUCAAUUCAUCUUUUCAAAUAAUCCCGACUCCUCUACUUUCACCUUUCGUUUUUUUAAGAUACCAAAAAUCCUAUUUUCAAUAAAAUUUGGUUGCCAUUUUCUUUCCGGCAAGCCACUUUUGAAUUUUCUUUGUUUUCUAAAAAUGUUUUAAAAUAAACAAGGAUUAAAUUCUGUAAUUCCGAAUAAUGGAAUUUAUGAAAUUAAUUCAUGCAAAAUAAAAGGGCUUUGGUGGGGGCCAACAUCAAAUGAAUUUUCAUCAAAUAAAACUGAAUUUGAGUGAAAUGCCAUGUGUGAUGUUGAUAGUUCUUUAUCUGUUUACUGACUCGCGGGCUAUAUUUUAUAUUCAUUAAUUGUGCACUAACCCCAUUUCUUGAUAGCGCAUGAUGGUGUAUUCAUUGAUUUUCUCAUCAUUGUCACGUCAGCUUUAUUUUAUUAGUAAAGACCCGACUUUAGGGACUUAGAGGGGUGCUACGGUCUUUAUCGUACCUUCCCGAUAAGUAACCUGACCCCCGAACCUAAUCCGAUUUUUCGUAGACCAACCUUUUCCAAAACAAGGAGUCACACUUAGGGUUUUUCUUUCUUAUUUUGUUUACCUUUUAAAAAUAAAACAAAAAUAAGUGGCGACUCCAAGUCAUUUUUCUUAAUCAAUAAAAAUCAAUUUUUCAAAUAAAAAUCGAGCUCGUCAUCGAGUGAGAAACGCAUGAGCCGAAAUGCGGGGUCCACACUCCUACUCUUGAUCUUGUAGCAUUUUGUGAUGUCUAUUGGGCCUUUAAUCCUAAUGACCGAAGAUUAACUUCAGGAUUUGGUGUAUAUUUUGGUUCAAAUUUAGUCACUUGGCAGUCAAAGAAAUAUAUUGUAUUUAGAUCAAGUAUAAAAACAAAGUACAGAAGCCUAGCUAGUUUGGUUGCAGAAAUCACUUGGUUACUAUCUCUUCUCUCAUAAAUUAAAAUCACUUUGAAUACACCACCAGUUAUUUGGUGUGAUAAUCUUAGCAUUGUUAUGUUUGUUGCUAAUCCAAUAUUACAUGCCAUGACAAAACACAUUGAAUUGGAUUUAUAUUUUGUCAAGGGAAAGGUUUUGCAAAGAAAGGUUUCAGUCCAACAUGUGCCUUCCAUUGAUCAAGUAGUAGAUGCCUUGACAAAAGCUAUCUCAAGCACUCAGUUUGUAAAUCUAAGAAACAAACUCAAAGAAGAAAAUCUUUCUACGUUAAGUUUGAAGGAGAAUGUUAAGAGAUAGUUUCAUAUGGUUACAAGAUGUACACGUGUCAUAUGCUCAUUGGUUUUUUUAUUAUUGUUAGAGAAUUUGUUAGUUAGGUCUACUAUAUAUAUUACUCUGUAAAUAGCAUAAUAAAGAAAGAGAGAAAAAUAAAUUAGAAAAUCACUUUACUUUCUCAGUUUCUGUUACGUUCCUUUCUUAUCUAUGUUACUUUCUUUACACCCAGUAUCCCCUCAUAGCUCAAAUAUAUCUCUAUAGUGCUUACCCAAGUGAAAUGAAUCUUUAGAGCUUACCCAAAUCAAAUGAAUCAGAAAUAGGAUAAAAUUGAUGGACAGACACUGAUAUAAAGGUGAAAUGAAUACUGUAUUGGUUGACUUUGGAGAAGGGUGAGAAUUACUGUGUUGGAGAUCACCAUUUCCAAGAGGUGGGCAUUAAAAAGAACCUGGAGAACUGUUCAGUUGAUCCUAACAUUCCCCGUCUGAUUCAAAAGAAAAUGGCAUCAACCAUCUCAGAUUCAGCGACGAUGAGGUGUAUACUUUUUUUGAGCUACAAGUUGUAAACUACAACCCAUAACUGUUGAGAAUAAAAAGGCACUUGCCUAUUCUUAAUUACUAUUUAUUUUUGGUUUUCAGAUGUGCGCUUGUAACCGGAGCAAGUAAAGGAAUUGGACUAGAGAUAUGCAGACAGUUAGCUUCUAAUGGAGUCAUGGUGGUAUUAACAGCUAGAGAUGAGAAGAGGGGUCUUGAAGCUGUGGCAAAGCUUCACGAAUCUAGCCUGUCUAAUGUAGUUUUUCAUCAGCUUGAAGUGAUGGAUGCCAAGAGUAUCACUACCUUGGCAAAAUUCAUUGUGACCCGUUAUGGGAAGCUUGAUAUUUUAGUAAGGAAUCAACCCUUUUUGGAAGGACAUUUUUUUACUCAUUUUCCUUCUGCUAUGGAAAAAAAAUUCUUAGGGUUUCGCGAGUUUGAGAUUAGUAUGAUACCUAACUUAGAGGAUCCUGAAAAUUUUAUACCUCAAUCAGGAAGCAAAGCAAAAACAUUUUAAUCAUGUAGAGAAACAUUUCUUGUUGCCUUACUUCAUUUUACUAUGAUAUUAACAAUAAACGCAAAUUUGAGAAUUCAAGAAAAUGAAAAUCAGGUAAUCUGCCAUUCAUUUUUAGCAUAUUAGGAGAAUCAGAGGGAUUCUGAAUUGAUUAUAGCAAUAUGAAAUCAAAAUUUCAUGCAGGUGAAUAAUGCAGGGGUUAGUGGAGCCAUUACCGACUGGGAAGCAUUUAAGACCUUAUACCUUGAGGAUAGUAAGGUAUGUAAUUACAUGCUCUUGAAAAAUCAUAACUAGGAAGUCUAAGCUCAUUAUCAAUGUCUAUCAACCAUAUAUUGAAAUGAAUAAUUUUGUUUCAUUUCUAAAUUUAAAGAGGACAGAGUCUGAUAGAAUCCAUGACUCAAUAUUGUUUCACUCUUGCAGAAUAAUACUAAUGUAGCUGAAUUGCUGAAUAAAGCCUCAAAGGAAACUUAUGGGUUGGCUGAAGAAUGUGUAAAAACAAACUACUAUGGCACCAAAGGAGUGACUGAGGCCCUUUUUCCAUGCCUUCUGCUAUCAAAUUCAGGAAGAAUUGUGAAUGUGUCUUCAAGUCUUGGAAGCCUUCAGGUAUGUAAAUGUAAUUGCACCUUCAAGGGGAAAUUCUAAAACCAAAUUCAAAGUUUAUAAUGCACUAGUCCUGUCUACCAUUUCCAUUAAUGUUGAGCUCUUCCUUAUUUUAUCAGUUUGUCUCCAAUGAAAGGGUCAGAAUGGAGCUAAAUGAUGUUGAUGUACUCUCAGUAGAGAGAUUAGAUGAGAUAGUGAAUGAAUUCCUCAAUGAUGUUAAGGAGGACAGGUUACAUGACAGAGGCUGGCCAACUCAGACAUCUGCAUAUACAAUCUCCAAAGCAGCCGUGAAUGCCUACACAAGGAUUGUUGCCAAAUCAUACCCAAGUCUCCUCAUAAAUUGUGUCUGUCCUGGUUUCGUCAAAACUGAUAUAAAUUCCAACACCGGUUUCUUUCCUGUUGAAGUGGGUGCCAAAGGCGCUGUUAUGUUGGCUUUGCUUCCAGAGGGAGGACCUUCUGGCCUCUUUUUCGAAAAGAUGGAGGCAUCAACCUUUUGAUCAUAAGUCAGUUAUAAGAACGAGUUGGUUUUCCGCUUUAUGCAUUUCCUAUGGUGGUAUUUGUAAGGUUAUCGAAGUUUUCCUAUGCUUUGCUGAGACAAUUGGGUGAUAGCUGUGAAAUUUCUCUUGUAUUCGGUGUAAUAAUUAUGAACUUUAGCUCUCUGUGUGAAAUUGAUAAUCCUUUUAAAAGUAAGAAGUAGGAAACCAGUCUCAUCCCUUACUUUGGAAUGUUCAUGUAUUAUUCAUCUCAUUAUAUGCAACCAGUUCUUAUUUAAUAAAGAAAUUCCACGGGGUAGGACAUGGGAUUGGAAGCUCAAUCUGAACACUCAUUCAGGGCUUCCACAUCUGGUCAAGGGCGGCGCAUUGAUCACAUUUACAAUGACCUGCUUCUUAUGAAAUAAAAAUUGUCCAUUUACACUCUAAGACGCCGCAUCCUCACACGUAUAUCACAACACUGAACACGCCAAAACAUGGCCAACUCAUACAUCUGCAUAUUAUUCUCCAAGGCAGCUGUCAAUACGCACAAGGAUCAUUGCUAAAUUGUAUCCCUGUUUCUACGUCCAUUGUUUUUGUCCUGGUUUCGCUACCACUGAUAUGACUUCCAACAAUGGAAUAUUUUCUUUCCAUAUUCAGGAAGAAUGGUGAACGUGUCUGCAAGUUUUGGGAAGCUUCAUGUGUGUCCAGGUUUCAGCAGAGCUGAUAUGGCUGAGCAUUCCCAUGCCCAAUCCACCAAAGAAAUGGGCCCGAGUUGUAAAAGCCCCAACCCCACUUAAAGAUCAGCUUUGAGGUGGACCAAGCAAAGCCCAAUCCAGAAAAUAACUGAACUUGGGUUGCAGCUAGAGCUCUGCCGAUAGCCAUGGAGCAAAGAAUAGAAAAAUGGCAUUAGAAGUCAAGAAUUUUGUGCGACAAAGAUAGAAAGGUAGAGAGAGAGUUGAAUGGACCAGCAACCCCCGCUCAAUUCCUCAGAGGAUGUGGCCUCACAAGUCUUUACACAGUUUCCCUACAACUAGCUGGAUUGCAUUCCACCCUAACCGUGUGGGCCACUCUUCUCCACCAAAAGUAUGAAGCCUGAAUGGGUAUGAUAUCGAUGUCCUUUUCUUGUAUUUAAAUAUAUGUAUUUCAACAUGUUUUCAAGCUAUAAAGUAAAAUGAUUUGAAAGAGAUCAAACCAUCCUAUCUAUGAUUCUAUACUCUCCACAUCCUAAUUCUUCCCGCCUUCUUCAUCUUCUUCAAUUCCCACCACUUUUGACAAAUUAAAAUGAUUUUUAAAACAUUAUAUUUUGUUUUAGUCAUUGACACUUUUCUCCCUAAGUCAUUUUCAAGUUAUUAACUAAAAUACUCUCAACAUUUUUAAAAAAUAAAAACAUUGCAAAAAGAUAAAUCAGAUAUCAUGAAACAAUCAUUUUAUAUCUGACCAAAUAUUCCAAAAAACCCACCAUCCAUGCAACCACCAAAUCCCAAUCCCCAAAACUUUGAUCAUCCUAUUAUCCUACCUCACCAAUUCCAACUAGGCAAGGCAUAGGGACACAAACCCAGCUUUUACUUUAACUAAUAACUACUAAUUACCCUCCUCCCUCCAUUGGUUAAAGCCUUAAAGGACAAAAUCCCCCAUCAUUCUGCACACUGCGAGACCCAAAGCCGCGUGAGCACACGGACCGGACCCUGUCAGCCCCAAAAACAAAAUUGGAAAAGGUCGGGUAGCAGUGCAGACUGCAGAGAGAGCAGCUUUUCACCGUCUUCCUUUCCUUUCCUUUUUUUAUUUUUUUAUUUUUAAAUUAUAAUUAAUAAAAAAGGUCGAGUUGGGAAUCCAAGACAUGAAAUGAAGUGACGACCCACCUAAGACCUAAAAGGCCAAAUCAACAGAGAAUUGGGACCCACACGGUUGAACAAAGUUGGCAUCAUGAUUCUUUUAUUUUUUUCUUUUAAUGUUUUUUAUGGGGUACCCGACAGGUAAUAGCCGUUAUGACCCCACAUUGGCGACUAAUCCACUACCCGUCCAUGUAUUCAAAGUGAAUUAGGUAUAUUCCACCUCCACGUAGCCUCAAUUAUUAUCAUGUUAUCAACCUCCACUUUUAUUCCAUUUUUUAUUAUUAUUAUUCCUUCUUUUUUUAAUUACAAAAUUGGUUCCUCUAGAUUUUCUAUGCCAAGCCAUCACAAAUCUCAAAGUUUUUGGAUUACUAGAUAUUUUGUCCAGUUGUGUGUCAUUUUGCAUUUCAUGUCACACGUGACUACAUCUUCCAAGUGGAUUUACCAAAAAAAACAAAUCUAAGAAAAUUAAGAAUAUAAAUCCCAUUUGUAAAGGAAAAUGAUUAGAAAAACAUUUACAUUGUAUUAUCUUAUUUAGGAUAAAAGAGAAAGUUUUUAUAACCAUACAUAUGAACUCUUCCUUACUACUCUUUUAUACUCAAAAAUAAUAAUAUUUUUAUGUUUAAAUAAUAUCUCAUCUUUCAUAAAAGCAAUUCUAAUAAAAUAUUAUUGCCAAGGAUUAUAAAUUAAAAAUAAUUUUACUAAAAUCCCACUAAACAAUUCAUAUAUAUUGAUCGAUAAGGUCUAACAGGAUCAUAAUUUCAAAAAACUCUAAAAAUAUUCUUUUUUUCAAUGUUUUCGGUAGACUUUUGGCACUUGAAUUCUAUGUGGUAUGUUAACGUUACAAUAAUUCCAAAACAUUUCUACAACUAUAUUAAAAUUUAACACCCGUGCUCUUUAAUCAAUCCGUUAUGAUUCAAACCAUUUACAAACCCAAAAUUUAAUGCCAUUUUAAAAUACCACAUAUAUAAAAUUUUAAAUUAAUAAAAUUAUUCAAUAAUAGUAUGGGUUAAAAUUUAAAACACAUGUUUAGAAAAUUAGGGGAUCUAAUAUAUGACAAGGAAAAUAGGCUUGGCUAGGGUCUUAAUGAUAUUAUGUGUUGAAAAGUUUGAAGGGGCUCACAAAUUCAGACCAUGUUCCCAAUUGGUCCACAGCCAUAACAUUGGACCUAGAGAGGGCGUUAAAAGUGACCAUGAAAAGACGCCACUGUCAUUCUUUAUCCCGAUGAGUAAGAGUAAGAGAUAUUUCUUUUGAAAUAAACGUACAUAUAAAUAUUGGUUUAACAUUAAAUAAAAUAAUAUGAUACAGAAAAGUGGGGUAAUUGAGUGAAAAGUCCGUGGAGAAGGGUUGCACCGAAAAGGAGUGGUGGACUGAGGACUAUAUGGUUGAAUGGUUCUACCUUAUUGAUGGAUAUGUUUUGUAUUAAAAAAAUAAUUACAAUUAUAGUAUAAUGAAUUGAUAUGUUGCUAAAGUGAUCUUGUAAUGAUUUUCCCUGUCUCCCCCUUUUGCAUGUCGUGACAAUUUACCUGAAUUAUUUUAUGUAUUUUUAACUUAGUCUAGUUACACUCACCCUCUAUCUUUAUCCCUUUAUUGUGAUUAUAUUUUUAUAAUUACUAGGGAUACCUGUGAAGGAAAAGGAAUAUUGAAAAUGAUUCAUGGGGUGGGCCCUAUAGGGUAGAAUUUAUAUUACUUUACAUUUUUCAAGAGCUUUUUUAUAAUGGGUUAAUUUUAUUAGUAUUUUCUAAAGUUUUGAUUAAAUACCAUUAAUUUUUAUAUAGAUUUAAAGUUUUAUCAAAUAUCUCUCUUAUUUUGAAUGAGAAAUGGGGUGAGUGAAAAUUAAAAAUUAAAAUAAUAUGAAUAAUAUUUGAUAAAGUUUCAAACCAAUUCAGAUCAUGUAUUUUUAAUCAAUGUCUUAGAGAAGGUAAAUGAAAUUAACUUAAAAUUUUAAAAAUGAGAUAUUCAAUUAAUUAAUUAUUUAAAUGUUCAUAAACCUUAUUGUGGCUCAUUUAAUGGAGUAGUUGAUUUUUUUUUUUUUUAAUUUUAGUAGAUAAGUUGAAAGAAUAGACUUUGAUUUGACAUGGAAAAAAUUUGCAACUCAAAAAUAUCUUGGUAUAAGCAUUUGUCCAAAGGCACCUUUUGCCCAAUCUCAUGAAAAAUAUAAAUAUUUUUUUAGGCCUUUAAUUUGCUUUAUUUAAAAGUGUUUUACUCCUCCGUCUAGAUUUGGAAAAAAAAAAUGAAAGCAAAAAUAAAAAAUAAAAAAAAAUGAGAAUUUUUUUCAUUGGUUAUGAAAAAAAUAAUUAUAAUGAAAAUUAUUGAAAGUUUUAUACUCUUUCGAAUUCUUUUAUUUUUUUUCACAUAAAAUCCCUUUAACUUUUUUCUCUUUCCAAGUUUAUUCUUGUGCCAAAAUGGUGUAUGAAAAAGGAAGACCAAGGAAGCUACUAGCUUUAGUAUAAGAUCCAAUUAACUAUAAACAUAAUAAUGAUAAUGCGUUUAUGGGCGUUAUUAACAAUAAUAAUAGUAAAAGUAAUAAUAAGCAUGCAUAUGAUAUAUCCUAAAGUAUAAUAUAUAGGGUUAGAAGGAGGUUAAUAGUAGCUAAAAGGAGGUGUGGUUAGUGGGGGUUGUUGUAUUUGUUCGGGACAUGGAGGACACCAAAGUCGUAGGAGACGUGAAACGGAGUUAUUGCUUAUGACUUAUGACUCAUGCCCUUAUCCAAUAUAUUACACUACACACUACCUCAACAUCACAUUAUAGUUGUACUCUCUCCCAUGCAUCAAUUUCAAGUAUCCCCCAUGUGGUCUCCCACCAUCACCUCCCCCGCCUCCCCCCACCAAUUAAUUAAUCCAUCCAAUCCAUUUGCGUCAAAGAAAUCUGACUAGCUAGCAUUUAAUCAAGCUAGUUUUUUUUACAGUCUUCAAAACUCAGACAAUUAUAUCCCCUAGUCACUGCAUGUUUGAUUAACCUCUAUGUCCACGUCUGUUUAUGAUUUGUAACCCGGGGUACCCUAGGGCAAGUGGGUUUUCAGGACUUUCCAUUGCAGUCGCCACUUUCUAAGGCAGACCAAAGAUGCAGGGUAAAAUGAGAGCGCCGGUAAAGAAAAAGGGAGAAGAAGAAGAAGAAGAAGGGGAAAAAAGGGGUUUACACCAUGGAUGGGACUUAAAGGCGCGGCGCCCAUUUUACUUUGUUAUUAUUUUGGAUUUUCCCCACUCUUUUUGCAAAAGUUUUACCCUCCAUGGUUUGAACUUACACCAUCUUCUAUAAUCAAUCACCAACCAUCCAAUUAUGUUAAACUAACAACCCUUGAUCCACGUGUCCACCAAGCAAAGGACAUGAAGAUGUAGGUGAAGCCUAGCGUGGAGAGUCUUAGAACUAGUCCAAUGGAAGCCUUCAUCUUUUCUUCCAAGGAGGACUUUGGUGUUCCAAACUUCCAAUGGGUCUCUCUCAUAUUUUCUUUAAUUUGGGUGCUGUCUUGGUGGGGAAAUUUGAUUUCCCACCCCCCUUUCUUGACUAACGGAACUAGGGCAUUUUGAGUCAAUGCAUAUGAAAUUUGUAAUGGGUUGAUGCCUAUUUUGUAGGUUAGCAAAUUAAACUAUUGAAAUCUACCAUGGUCCAUGGGCAUGAACGAUUCAAUGCAUACAUAUCCAAGAAUUUCUAGCUAACUCUUUUUGGUUCCAAGUCAAAAAAGAAGGAGAAGAGCUCUCUGAUUAAAGGUUUCCUAUGCUUGGAAAUGCCUUUUGAAAUUGGGUAGGCUACUUUGGUGGCCAUGAGGGGGGCACAUGCAGGCCUUGCUUUGUUUAACCUCUGAAUCAAAGAUGAAAUGAUGAUUCAACUUUUUCCAUUCAUAGCAAGAGUUUUUAAAUUAAACUUAAACAUUUGAAUUGUGGGGCUUUUUGGGCUCAUUCAUAUGGAAUAAUGUUAUUUUCAUUAGAGUUUGACAGCCUCUCUAAACCAUGUAAAAAUCCAUUAUGAAAAAUGAUUGUCUCUCUGAAAGGUUUUCCUACCCUAAUAAAGACAUUUUUUAGGGUUUCCAAACAUACUUGUCCAUUUUUAUGUUGUAAAAAAAUAAAAUAAAAUAAAAGAAGGGUUGUUAUGUCUUUUGAAAAGUUCUAUUUCUUAUAAAGCAACUAUUUUCAUUUCAUUUUAAAGUAAAAUAGCUUUACUUGCAUUACACUUUCUUUUAAAAAAUAAAUAAUAAAUUUUUACAACUUUUAGGGAAAAAUAUCAUUUUUAAUUAAAAUUUUUAAUCAUACGAGAUAAAGAAUGGGCACGGGCAAUGACUUAGAAGCAAAAGGUUGGACAAGAUUCCAUUAAAGUUUUUCAAUAUGUAUUAUAAUUUCUAACAUUAUUAAAAGAACGCAUCCACUUGAAUGAUAAUCAAAUUUUUUCAAUGUAAUCCUUAUUUCUUAAAUCAAAUAAAGUCAUACCAUUUUUACUAUUAAAUUGAAUGUUCCAAGAAAUUCCAUAGAUAAAACAAAAAUUUAAAACACGAGACGUGACAAUAUGAUAAUACAUAGAUUAUUUGUUGGAGGGAAAAAUUUUUAAGUGAAAAAAACAAAAAUUCUCUCGAUUUUCUAAGUGAACAGAAAGAAUCUUACCUAAUUUCAUUUUCAAAUUAGUGGUGAUAUGACUUUAGAUUAUAAUAUAAACUAAGUAGUAUAAUGACUUUAUAUUAUAAUAAAAAAAAAUGUCAUUGAUUAAUUCUAAACAUACCUCUUGGGAUAUUCUUGCGGGCAGCCCACUAUUCGGGCAUGGCCCCAUAAGCAUCCAAUAAUGAUGGGUAGGUCACAACUUUACCAUGGCUGGUAUUAUGGUUAAAAAAAAUUAUUAUUAAAAAAAAUCCAAUGAUUUCAUGCAUUUUUUCUUAGUAAAACAACAAUUAACCCCAAUGAGGAUCGCUUGGAACUUACUCAAUGAGCAGCCCACGUGACCAAAAUUUCCACGUAGGAAAAUAAACCUUAACUUCCUCCAAUACUAUGAUAUUACAUAUGUUCAAAAGGUUCAUUGCUGAGGUACCUUUUGAGAUCAUACUAUGUUUGUAGAUUUUUUAUUUUUUAUAUAAUUUUUUCAAUUUAUUGAUAAAAUGAUUUUAUUAUCUCAAAACUAGAGGGAAGUAAGGUUGAGCUCCCGCUUUUAGCGGUGGAUUGUGAAUACCGGCGCAGGCAUAUGCAGAGAGACAUGGAGAGAGAGGGUGAGUAGAAUAUAGAGUCCAACCUCCAACCCCAUAGCCAUAGGGGCCUUGUCAGUAAGAAAAGCAGGCGGUGGAUAAAAGCCAAAAGGGAGAAAGAUAACAGUAAUUACAAGAGCUUCACUUGGUUAUAAGAACUGCAAGAACCACUCCAAGAUCCAUCUUCCUUUCACUUGAGAGCCUUCACUCAUUCACAUUAUGGACAAUCAGCGCCACACUCCUCUGCUUAAUUGGGCUUACUACUGCCAAGGCAAGGUAGUUAAUGCUUCCUUCUCCUCCUCCUCCUCCUCCUCCUCCUCCUCCUCCUCCUCCUCUUCUUCUUCUUCUUCUUCUUCUUCUUCUUUUGUGUAAUGUUCAGGGGGGAAUAUGAAAUGGGGGUUUUCAAUUUUUCGCAUUUUUGUUUUGUGGGUUGUGUGAAAUGGGGGUCAUGUGUUUGCAGUUUGAGGUGUGGAUUUUCACGAGUAUAAUGGUGUGUUAGUUUUGAUGGUGCAGAAUAUGGAGGAGCUGAGGCAUUCUCUUGUGUGUACAACUCUGGAGCUGGAAACCAUGAGGCUAGCAGCUCAGGAGGAGCUAAGGAGGAGGGAUGAUCAAUUGGCACAUCUUAAAGAUCUUCUUACCAGGACAAUCAGGGAAAGGGAUGAAGCUCAGGACAAGUGCCACAGGCUCCUCCUUGAGAAAAUCCUGCUUCAUCAGCAGCAUCAACAAACUGCUAAUCUCUCUGGGAUUUCUAGCAUUGAGGAUGAACCCAGAAGAGGCAUUGACUCCAACAAUGGUUUUUCCUCUUCGGACUGUGAAGAAAGCAUUGUUUCUUCUCCGGUCAUCGACCCGGUUCCGCCCCCACAAUUGCCUCAACAGCAACCGCCGCCGCCCCCACCACCACAAUUGCAACAACCACCAUCUAUGCCAGAAGCAGCAUUGCAAUUGGUGUCCGAUAAGCCAUUGCCUGAAAAAGGGAAGCUUCUCCAGGCAGUGAUGAAAGCCGGUCCACUCCUUCAGACCCUUUUGCUGGCCGGACCGCUUCCUCAGUGGCGACACCCACCACCGCAUCUGGAGUCUUUUGAGAUCCCACCUGUGACCAUUCCUUCACAACCACCACCACCACAACCACUGCUCCACCAAGACUCUCUGAUCAAUUCUAGCCCCAACAACAACAACAUCAACUGUGGUAGAGUUGAUCGGAAAAGGGCUCUAUGUGAAGACUCCGACACUUCCAUAGAAACCAAGUACCAAAGGGUUGCUCUCCCUUGACCACCACUACAGAGAGUAAUCCUUAUAAUUUAAUAUUUAUAUCCCCAUUUAAAUACCAUUAAAGGUUAGUGAAACUGAAACUGCCAGAUGGGUAUGAGAUUGAUCUAGCAUUUGUACAGAAGUUUGUCCUAGAAAAGAUGUCGAAUUUAACUAGAAGCAGAGACAAGUGAGAGAAGCAGAGAAGACCAUUGUUUCAGGCUUUUCCGCCAGUGUUCUGAUUGGAGAUUUGCUCUGUUUUUUUCUUUUUUUUUUAAUUUUCCUUUACACUUCAAUUUUCCAGCAUGAUGUGAAAAGGGGGUUUAUUUCUCCAAAAAUUAGUGCUAAGAUGUAACAUGUAAUUCUGAUAUUUAGCUCUGUAUGUGUGUGUGAGAGAGAGAGGGAGAGUGAGGUGUGAAAGAUCACAUCAAAAGCUUUGAGAUUUGGGUAUGGAGUUGUUGAGAUUGAGAGAUGAGUGUGGCCAACAACCAGAAGG
Molecule: long non-coding RNA, 51424 nt
Filed under: Vitis vinifera (wine grape)
Lineage: Eukaryota; Viridiplantae; Streptophyta; Magnoliopsida; Vitales; Vitaceae
Description: long non-coding RNA (VVIN_LNC001943)
Source: RNAcentral